Molecule: long non-coding RNA, 50239 nt
Filed under: Durio zibethinus
Lineage: Eukaryota; Viridiplantae; Streptophyta; Magnoliopsida; Malvales; Malvaceae
Description: long non-coding RNA (DZIB_LNC000523)
Source: RNAcentral
AAUUCAUUUCUUUUCUUUGUGGGUGUUCGAUUUUAUAUUUUGUCUUUCUUUUCCCUGUUUUCUUUUUUUUAAUUUUUCAUUCUUGGGCUUAUUCCUUGUUUGCUGGAAACUUAAUCUUUUUCAGAGAAGAAAAGGGAGUUCUAUAAAAAUGCUAAGUUUGUUAACAAGUAUAAGAAGUCACUAAAGCAACAAAAUCAGGCAAAUGAUCUUCCUUUAGCGAGAAGGACCCCAGAGGUUUGUUCUCAUUUAAUUUAAUUAAUUAUGAUUAACUUGCUUUAUUUCUUUUCUUUUUCCGUUUGAAUUACAAGAGGAACGGUCUAGCUUGAAAUUGGGUUGAGGCCUAUUAUGUUGGACGUUGACAACUAUUUCAAGCUAUAAUUGUUAAUGGUGUUCAUUAGAUGAGUGAUUAAGCAUUUUACUUUUAAUUUGAAGUGUUGUUGGAUAGCAUAUGGAUUUGUGAAUGUGGAGCAAAGCCUAUACAUGAUUGAGUUCCAAAAAUAAUUGUUCUUUGAAUGAUUCUUUCAAAAAUUUAUUCAUAUUCUAUGAAAUGCUCAAUGUGCAGCUGAGAAAGACAGAUGAUUCUGUUCGAAACAUGUAAUCCAAAUUCUAUAUUGUAUCCUUGCGUGCUUUCGCGAAAAGUUUCUUUGAUUUAAAUGUAGUUUAGAAUAGACUGAGUUUGAUAAUGCAAGGACUUUUGCAGGAUGAUAAUGGAGACAUUGAUAGCAGUAGGACGAACAAAUGGAACAAGAAGAAGAGUAGUUUGCAUAGUCGGAGAGAAUUGUUUGAGAAGCAGCGGGAGAAGAAAGAGAAGGCAAGGAUGGAGAGGGAAGCAAUUAUUCAAGCAAAGAAGGAACAAAAAGAGAAAGCCGAAGCUUAUAGGAAGGAAGGACGGAAGAAGAUGUUCAAAAAGACACGUCAUGGUCAACCUGUAAUGAAAUACAGAAUCCAGCAUCUUUUGCAGUCUAUACAGAGUUCCUCUAGUGCCUCAGUUAAUAAAAAUGUGUAAUUUACAAUUUUGUUGUUUCUUGUGCUGUACUUCAUUAGUGCAUACGGUCGCUGAUUUAGAGAGCUAGUGGUGAAAGUGGGGAACUUUAGUUAAUUGCCCCAAGAGAGGAUUUUCAUUUUGCUAAUGUAGCAUUUUUGGAUAGCUAAUGGGUUUUCACUGCCUGUCUAACAACCAUCAUGUUGUUCUUUUUAAUACGAAGUAUGAAACAGCAAUUUUGUCUGAAUAUUUAGUUGCCAAUCUGUUGAUUUAUUAUAUUGCCUGUAUCCAGUUUUAUCUGUGAUAUUGCUUUGCUGGGUAAUUUACAUACUUUCACUAGUCAGAACUGGUAAUUUACAUGCAUAUUGCAACUCUUUUACAUGAAUUCCUGAACUUUAAUAAGAAAAACCUGGGAAUUAAGAUCGCAUAGUCCUCCAUGGUUCAGCCACAAGAAACCUCCCUGACUAAUCUAUAUCGCCAUCAUAAUCUUAAGGAAUGUUAACUCUAUAUCGCUAUCAUAAUCUAAACAUACCGCAAGAUUAAGGUGAAGAUAACUCAUCUAAAGCUUUUCCAGGCUGAGUUCCGCUAACAUUGAAGAAGACAACUCCCCCCCCCCCCCCCCCCCCACAUAAACUAGAAAACAAAAUUCCCUGAUACGGCUUAACUUUGGAAGCAAGUGACCACUGACCAGGGACCUUACUAUCCAGACCAAAAUGACAAAGAACCUUCUCAGGCUACACGCCGCGCCACAAGUAUAGCUCGCGGACGAGGUGGUGGGAUGCAGAUGGCCAUGAGGGUGAGAGCAAUAACCAGGGCCAAGAGAAGUCCCUUGAGAUCCAAACCAUUGCCUUCAUUUAGUUCGGAGCAAAUAACUUUUCCCAUCUCCAGUAGGAUGAGCUACGGUUUCUGUAUCCUGUCCCGAAAGGAGGCCUCAGAGUUGGGAGAAAGGAAUGUAAAUUCCAUACAUGUUAAUGGUUCUUAUAUUCAUUGGACUUCAAGUCAACUCCGAUUAAGGAAAAUUGUUUUUCAAACUGCGUUUUCAUUGGUUUGAUGUAGACUCCUGGAAAACUUCAAACAAAGAUUAGCUGCAAAAUGUGAACUUUCCGUGACUACAGGGUAGUGAAUAGAAAGGAAACCAAUGGCUUGGUCUAGGUUCGAAGGGCUGGCUAUGGAAAAGUAAAACACCGAAUGCGUGAAUCGUACGCAGAUAAGCAGAUAACGACAACCCUUGUUCACUUGGUACCUAAUGCAGAGUAAUAGUCUUCUUUCCAUAAUAAAUUUGAUAAAUUAAAUUGGGCUUAGGAAUUCCUAACUACCAUUUAAUUUAGCAUCUUGUCAAAGUUCUCAGUUUAUUUGAUGCUAACAUCAAGAAACUUGUGGCUUGAAUAAUUUUCUGUACCUUUCAUCCUAUUCAUAGUGAAGGGAUGGCGGCUAGAGGGAGGCAGAAUUUUAAUCCUACACGUUUUCUAUGAAAAAGCCUUUGGUUUCUGUUCCUCCAUAACAUAUUUCAUUAAACUUUCUCUUCGUAUAUUACUACUGUUUGAUUAUUCUCAGUCUAUAAAUAGUUGCAAUUUUUUUUUUUUGGGGUCCUUAACCUGUUUGUCCUAUAAAUUUUCUGUAUUCUUACGUAGGAGUAAUAUACAUUUUCAGCAAUAUAUAUUUUAAUAUUUUAGUCGAUUGUCAUCCAUUUUGACCCUAGGAAUUGCCGUCCAACUCUGUUGGAAAACAAAUGGAAGUGAAGUGUUUUCUCGGCAUUUUUUCAAGGCAUGUGUUACAUAUGGUUGAAAGUCAUGUAUCAUUUUUUUUAUCUGUAGCAUUACAAGGUAAUUUCCUUGGUUUUUGUUUACAAGUAGUUAUUGUGAACGUCUUCAUCCACAUCAAACAAGCUCUGCUAGUACAAUUUUGUGUUUACUGUAUUACAUCUUCCUGUUUUGUAAUAGUUUUUCACUUUACCAUGCAAAAAUAAGGACACAAAUGAGUUUGUACAAUCCAUCCCUCAAUUCACCAAAAUCAUAAAACAGAGAAAUAUGUCAUCGACAAGAUCAAUUUAAUCUUCGCUGUCCUAUUAAGAGGACAAGUAGAAACUCUGUUACAAAUUUAGAUUGCUAUCAGACUUAAAAAACCGUUUAUCAGUUCCGUGGCACAAUCAGAAUUCUCAAAAUAUGACGAGCUAUAGCCUAUAAAACUUGAAAAGCAAAGUCCAAAAGAAACAAGCCUAUUCGGGAAAAGUUUGUGAUGAAGAAGAAGAAGAGUCCUUCACAGCUCUUACCAACCUAUACGAUGAGUAACAAUCAUAGCGCGCCAUGGAGGUUGCUUAAAACAGGUUAGCAUGAGGGCGAUAGAGAUAACUAGUGCAAGGAGAAGUCCCAUGACAUCCAAGUUUAGAUCCAUACACAACUGCCCCAUCUCCAACAGUUUGAAAACCGGAUGCUAAUUCCUUUCUCCCUUUUUUAUUCUCUCUUUGCCCCAAUGGAGAAGUAGGAGAAAGGAAUCAAUUCAAAAUGCAAUUCACGUUAAGGCGGCUCUUAUGUUUGUUUAAGUCAAGUCGGAUAUGGAAAUUUUGAUAGAAAAAGGCGUAUAAGCUUUCAUUGUCAUAUGGAGAGUAGACCUGGGAAUUUCCAAUGAGGUUGUUAGCUGCAAAAUAUUGACUUUCCUGGACUAUCUACACGGCAAUGACUAGACGAAAAUAAGCAAAUAAACAGAUUCAAAGCGAUUUCUAUUGUAAAAUAAAAGCAUAGACAAAUGGACGGACACCCCAUGGUUUCAAUCAGUUUAAUGCUAAAACCUUAGCUUCAAAACUUUUCAACUAAUUAAACAUUGAUGAAACCUGAUCUUUCUUGAUAGUAUUGGAUUCCAAUCAAAGUCUUCCCCAAAGGUUCUAAAAUAUCAAUGUCACAACCACCACGUCGAGUCUCUUAAAUGUGAUAUAAUGAUGAAUAUAAUAUUGCAAUUGACACACUUGUUCAUGCGUUUAUAUUAUAAAUGGUUAUAUAAUUUACAGUGUUUCAGAGAAAAUAAACAGCCAAAUGUUGGACGGGGUCCUGUAAGUUCCAGCAUUUUUAUUAGUCAACUGAACUAAUUCUAAGGCUACCAUCAAACACCAAGUCGCCGGUCAUACCUCAUAACUCAGAACCAUCUUCUUGAAACUUUUGGCUGGAGUUGAUUAUAUUACGUAUUUAAGUGAACAAUUUUAUUGUCUCUGAUACAUUAAAAAAGGCAAAAAUAAAUAUGAGUAAAUAUAUAGAAAAUGGACAGCUACGCAAACGCAAAAAGGGCAACAAAAAUGAUCAUUUAGGGCAUUAUUAUUAUUAGUAGUAGUAGCAGUAGUCACAACAGUAGUAGUAAUUAUUUUUGCAGUCAAGGAAGCCACUUUGUACAAUCAUGAUUCUCUAAUUACACCAACUUUGCUCGUUUCUGUUUCAAUAGUUAUUAGAUAUAGGAAACGAAGUAAAGGUCCUUUUUUUUACUCAUUUAAUACUGAGAUCACUUUUUACCGAACUAAAACAGAACCCAUCAGAAGUACUGCUGUCCUGUCCCGGUGGAGACAGUGUAGCGUCAAGAAUUUGACCCUGUGAUCUCAUGAUGAGGGUGUUAAACAGUAAAAAAAAAAAUCCUUCUACUACUACCAGAGAGAUGAAAUCAGCAACCCAACAAUCAUAAGUAACACACAAUAUUAAUGAUGAAUGAUGAUCCACCAUAAAUACACCAAACGUGUGCCCAUCAUCCUUAUUGAGUCAUUUCCUUCCCCACCACUUGAUAAUUUUCACACUUACAGAAAUGAAAAAUCCCACCCUUUUCAUUUGUAAAUUUUUUCAUCUACUAGUUCUAUUUGUUUAUCAUAUGUUGUUUUCUGUCUCUAAUGUCUUAAAUUUUGGCUUGAAACUUUGAAAUAGAUGCAUUUUGGUGAUGUUUCAAUUCUUAUAUGUGAUGUUUCAAUUCAAAGCCAGAGGGGUGGGGGGUUAGGUGGCCACCAGAGAGCAGGUUAGCGUAGAAAAGAAAGCAUGAAUGAAGCAAAAGUUGUGGACAGUAACCAAUGUCGCCGAAUCUAUCACGUGGCGCAACAGUCGAGGCUAGGCUCAUAGAAUUUGGAAGCCGAGACGAACUGGCUCUUGCUACACCUUUUUCUGGUUCUGCUUUUGCAGAUAAAUAUGUAUGCGGAGAAGGUAAAAAUAAUAAUAAUAAUAAUGAGUCCCGUUGGAUUUGCUUGAUUAUCGUAAGAAAUUACUGUUAGGUUGGAUUACAGUGUUGGAUUGUUUUAAAAAUGAUAGUGACGUACAACAUAUCUCCUUUUAAGAAGUCUUUCUGGUUGCUGUAUUGCAUACCUGUAAUAGUCUUACCCUUUCCUAAUGCAAAGCCGGUUUUGGUGCGAUCUCGGAAGUAAAAAGCAGCCAUCGUUUAGCAGAGAAAGACAGGUUUCCCUCUUAUUAAAUUCAAACUCAUGGACACUUUGACAAUAACUUCUCAUGCAUUCUCACAAAACCUAGUUGUCAUGAUGGUGGAAGGGUCAAAUAUUCUCGAUUCACAUUCAAACCUCCCACUUUCCGCUAAUGCAAUCAAGCAAAAUCUUGGUUGUUGUACGACCUGAGACACAGAUUCAUCCCACAUUGCAAGCUAAAGUUUCCCUAACUUAUAGGCAUGGCCAUGAAGCUAUUAUCAUGUUAAGUCGGUUCUCCAAAUAGACCAGCUACAAUAAACCACAAGCAUGAACCUAAGAAUUAAAUUUUAGAAGCACCAUUCUCUCGGCCGCUCAAAUCUAACAUGAUAAAUCUAAGAAAACAGGUGGUCGAGAUGCCUCGAGGGUCAAAGAUCUAAUACCUUGCUGGCAACAGAAGGUAUGGAUUCAAAAGCAAGAAACCAUUCUUGUCAUUAAAACUAUGACAACUGUUAAACGAAAAUCAUAGUUAACCCACAAAUUCUAGAUUACUACAAGGUAUAUGCCAUCUGCAAAUAAUGUUUGAUAACAAAAUUAUACCCAAGUAUGGACGUGGUCGCACUUCUUUGAAGGAUAUGAAGCUAAUAAGUAAACGCAAAAUGCAAGCAAGCAAGGGUGGGAUUUCAAAAACCUCGUAUCAAUAGAAGCACAACACUGAUAUCAUGAGCAUGAGCGAUAUCAUGAGCAUGAGCGUGAUCGUAAAAGAAAAACAUAAGCAGAACACUCAGGAAUUUUUAUUACUCCAAAAGGCUAACUACCAAUGACACAAUCGCGUCCAAAAUAUAAUUACUACCCUGAAAAAGGUGAUACAAAUGCAUAAAUAUCCAAAAGCCUGCAAAUGGUAUAGAUGGUUAACUAUGGCUAUGGCUAAACAAAUAAAAACUCAGAUUAAUACACAACUGGAGUUUUCAUCUCUUUAUUAAUCAUUACUCGGUAUCCGAUAGCUCAGCCAAUAGUAAAAUGAAUGGCAAUCGAGCUAUCAAGCCUUGUAUACCCUCCAUAUUAUGUUCCCACUCCAAUCAGGUCUGCAAUUAUAUUAAGCUACAUAAAAUUAAAUUGGGAACAACGAGUAACAUAAGGAGGAUGUACCUGAUACAUUCAUUCUUGAGAUCAAAUGAGCUUUAAUAAUAUGCCUAAUUCACAAGAGAUAUCUCAAGAAAGCCUCAAUGCAGAAUCUUUAUCCCUUGUCCAAACAAAAUGAGGCAUGUCAGACCUUGGCCCAGCAACAGACCUAUAUACGUAGAGCUUAUCAACCGAGCAGCUUUCCGGUCUAGAAUCUGGAGGUUCCCUCUCAUCAAUAACUUCAACAUUCAACCUGGACAUCUUCUGACCUAGCAGUUUACAUGCCCCAAAACUCACAGAGCAAGAGGACAUCCAAAGGGAUCGCAUUGUCUCCAGCUUUGCAGCAUUGGCCAAAAGACCCUUGUCCCCAAAGGGGCAGUCCCUAAUCUCUAGUUUGCGGAGGCUUUCACACCCAGAAAGCAUGUGAUGGAGUCCCAAAUCACUCUCUCCCGCAAAAGCAACAGACAGCAUCUCUAGCUUUUUCGCAUAUGUCCCAAUAUAUUCAAACACACGAUCUGUGAGGAGACCGGAGAGGGAAAGGCGCCUGAGAUCCUUGCAGUGCUCAACAAUGGCUCCAAAACCAACAUCGAGCGGCUCAUGGGUAAUGUAAUCAGCUUUUCUUGGCUCAAUUAUACAAAGGCGAAAACGAUCAAGUUUGGACGGUUCUGGGCAAUUGUGACUAAUGCCACAUUAGACAUUUGACGGCAGAAGUACAAAAUUGACUGUAGCUUAGGACAACCCAAAGAAACGGCAACAAGGCCCCUUUCUGUCAAGGACACAUUUGGCUCAACACCGAAUGGGUCAGAUGGAAACACCCGUAAUUCCUGUAGGUCCUUGCAACUAGAUGAGAGUGCUUCAAGGCCACUAUCUUCAAUGUAAUCCAGUACCUAUAAGCAUUACCUUCCUUACUUUUAGAAAAAAUAACAGACAGACAAGUAUUUGAAAAUACAAAGAGAAGCAAGAUGCAAUUCAUUGGAAUAUGUUAUGCGACCAGAACAGUUUGAAUGGGAUCCUUAGCUUAGACCACCUAAUGUUCACAAUAUUUUUAGGGUUGGAAUUAUCUCCUGGUAAUUUUUAUUAUAGUUAGCAAAGUCAAACGCAAAGGAGGAGAAUCGCUAACAAAGAAUAAAAAUAAAUAAUCGGAUGAUACCAUAAUCAGCUUACCCAUAGGCGCUGCAAACUUGUACAGUUGCUUACAAGCUUGAUAAGAUCAGGAGUUUGUACAUUAGCAUAGCUCAAGUUCAGUGACGUUAAUCUAGAGCAGACAGAGUAAAUGGCAGGAAGGUAAGCUGGGACCACAUCCCAAAAUCCAGAUAAGCUCCUCAGUUCCUUGCAACUAGAAAAAGCUCCAGCCAAGUUUGAGAAGACAUCUGACCGUAGCUCAGAGGCAUAAGUACCAGUUCCAAAUUCAACCAGCUGAGGUGCACGACAUAAUAUGUUGGCAAUCUUAUCAAGGGGUACUGUACGGUUGAGCCGAAGAGUCCUCAGGUUGGGACAUCUACCCACCAGGCGCUCCAAGGCUGAGAAACUAAUUUCAUCAGAACCUAAGCAAGAAAUGUUAAGAGAUACCAGGGAUGUGUAUGUCUCAGGAAAAUGACUGAGCCAAUGGCCACCCAAAUCAUCAACAUCACUUUCUCGCAAGUCCAGCUCUCUCAGAUUCCUGCAUCAGCAAGCAGAGUGAUUCAUAAAAAUAACAUACAAGGCACAGAAAAGGAACAAAAACAACAUUUUGUAUAAUAUUAGAGUCUUAUUAAAUUAAAUCUAGGAGUGAAACAUAGGAAAUCAAGAAGAUCUAAGUUGUUGAACAAAUUAGAAGUUCACCACUGUCCUUGUCAUUGGAAACGACCUGACAACCACACUAAAGUUACUUUCUUUGUUACAAUUGAACUUGCAAGGAAAGAAAGUUAUAUAUUCUUUACGUGUCUGAUUGCUCAGUCAACCAUAACUAUCACUAACCCAGAAAACAAACCAAAAAAAUAAAGGUUCUUCUAAUCUAAGAAUACAAAAAUUCCAGGAUGGACUUAAACCAACAUAAAUAUUUACCGCUCUCCAACAAACAAAAAAGGACCAAAGAAAAGGGGGAAAUCAGAAUCUUCAUUACCAUCUUGGAAAAGUAUUCCCUUGAUCCACACAUCGACGAAAGUUUACAAAAGAUAUUCAUUAUUCUUAAAUAAAUCAAAAGAAAAGGAAUCUACUUAAAGAGCAAAAAGAAGCCCACAUUUCCCAGGAAGUAACCAUCCAAAAUCUGAAAAUAACCCCAAAACGAAUCUACUGAUAACAAACAAAACAAUGUAAAAAACAGCCCUACUUAGAUCUUAGAAAAGGAAAAGAGGAAAAAUAAAAGGAAGACAACUAAAACAAGCAACCAAGCUUCCAAUCUACAAGUAAAGCUUUCAGAACAGUUCUUCUAAUCAGUUUACAUUGCCAGAUAACAAUUAAACCGAACAAAAAUCUAUUUUUUAAAAAAAUCUCAAACUACUCCAUUAAGAAAAAUGUAGCUAAACCCCAAAAUAAAUUGGAGCAUAGUUCAACUUUAACUCCCGCAAAGAUCAAAACUUCAACUCUUUUUUUGACUACAAAACCAAAUAGGAGAAAUGAAAAGAGUUAAUCAAACUCACUUGCAACUAGCAGCAAUGGCAGCGAGUCCGUCAGUUGAAAACCCUUCACAGGAAACAAGCACCAACACUUUGAAAUUCUCAAACGACUUGGCAAUAAGCUCCAAGCAUUCGUCAGUAACGACCAUACGUUUAAGCCGAAUCUCUUCCAGCCAAGGGUAGGCUCUGGCCAUCUCCAUGAUCCACGGAUGGAUGCAACCGCCCCAACCGUCUGGUACCAGAUUGAAGUCAGCAAAGUGUGGUUUCCCUUUCAGCUCAAUGGAUCUAACUUCGGGGAACCGUCUGAUCACCAUCCUAGGGCUAACAGCGUAACAGUUCCCGACAAAUAUCUUCCUCCGACAGCACCGUUCGAUCUCGUACCACGAUCUACAAACCAUCGAUACCACGUUCCGGUCUUUAUCUGAUUGUAUAAACGAGAAGACGUGCUCCAGCACCUCAUCUGGCAACGAAUACGCCCUUUUCUUCUGCAUUUAUUAAAAAACGAAAAGAAAAAGAACACACACAAGCAAAAAUGAAGCCUUUUUUAUUGAAAAGAUGAAAUUUUUUCUCUUUUUUGCCCCUGAGUUUGGCCGAGAUUUAUGUUUUGUCAAGCUUUAGAGUUCGUUUUUAGAUCUGAAACGCCAUUAACGACGCUUAUAGGGAGCAGAAGAUGGGGAGCUAAACAGAGAGAGUGAAGUGACAGACAGACAAUGGAGGAUAAGGAUUUUUAUUGUGUUGAGGAAGGUUAGAUUUUAACCAUGGUUAAAUAAGUCGUGUGAAAGGAAGGAGGAGGAGAAGGAGGAGGAGUUUCAAUGGACGUUUAGGAUAGUGACACGUGGUGGGGAAUAGAUGUGGGCCGUAGGAUGGACGGUCGGAGGGGGAGAUCUUAUCCGUUGUCGACGAAGCGCAGCCGCAGAAAACUGGUGUAUGAAGAGUGUGUGGGGGCCAUGUUUUGGCGAGAGUUUGAGGAAUAUAUGGGGAGGGAGAGGGACGACAGACGAGAUUGAGAUUGGGUGAAGGAGGAGGGGACUGCUAAAGUGUGAUGAUGUGUAGGAGAGAUCGGUGGUGCAAGGAAUCUCAUGAUUUGCGUAGCACGGCUGGAUCUGGGGGAUCGGAUAUUGCGGGGACCACAAGAAAGGGGUUAAAAAAUAAAUAAUGAGGAAUGAUCUGAUGUGAAAUCUGGUUAUCAUGACGUUAUGGCCGUCCAAUCAUAUUCACUUGUUGCAUUCAAAUAUCACUUAUCCUUGACCCAUUAAUCUCCAACGGCCUUGAUUCAUUACACUAUUAUUGAUAUUGAUGAUUUUUUAAUCAAAAAAAUAUUUCUUGUCGCCGUUGAAUUUUAAUACUUGUAUUUUUUUUUCUUAUUUUUCUUUGGAUGUUAGUUUUUAUAAAAAAAAAAUACAUAAAUGUAUUUUAAGAAGAGAAUUAAUAUUAGUAGUAAUAACAAAUUUCAAAAUAGAAAAGGACAAAAGAAAAUGACAAUUUUUUUUUGUAAUUUUGUUUUGUAAUGUCCAGAAAAAUGAUAAAGUAUAAGCGAGUGCACGAUGCAUCUUAAUCAAGACCGUCAGAUCAGGGCCCUUUUUGACAGUGUAGGGACGAAUUGCACAGAACACAUAAAAUGGGUCGCGAAGUAGUAAUAAAUAUUUUUCCUGCAAAUAGUAAAAAAAUAAAAAAUAACAAAGUUAAAAGGAAAAGGUUAAAGCGUCCCCACAAUUACCUCAGGUUGCACGGACGUGGCAUCAGAGAAAAUAAUUGAUUCUUUAAUUGCUCCUUCAAAUAACGAAAAUACCCUUCAUCACACCACACAAUACGCCCUUCGCUUCUCGUAAAACUGAAGGGUAGUGUUGUCAGUUCGUGAAAAGGACAUGAAAUAAUGGGGUUGCACUGUCUCGGCAUGGACUCCAUAGAGCUGUCCUUUUAUUGUCGAAAAAGCUGAGAUAGAAGUUAAAACUCAACGGCCCGGAUUUAAAAGUUGAUAAAAGGAUAGAUGUAGAUCGUUGUAUGGCGUCUUCGGAUAAGCGUCCUUAUCGAUAGUAACCGUAAAAGCUUGUCACUACUUGUACUGUAUUAAGGGAAGGAAAACCAACCAAGCAAACAAAAAAAAAAAAAACACUUAUUUUUCUAAUUAAGUAUUUUUUAAAAUUAAUUUCUGAAUAUUUUGCUCAGAAAUGUAGGUAAUAAUUUGUUUAAUAAAUAAAAUCCAAUAAAUAUUGGAUUCAAUGAGUUAUGUUGCACGUAAGGCUAAUUGUUUAACAGAGAAAUCGUGAUUAAUAUUAAGAAACUUUUAUUAAUUUUAAGUUAAUAAUAAUUGAUUAUUAAGCCCACGCAUGGUUCUCCGGGAAUCUCUCGUCCCCCUCCAGUUGGAUUGCUUGGACUUUGCUGUAUACUUGGCUUAGGAGUGAUGCCGCCCAUCUAUAAAUUUUGAAAUGAUUUUGGAAAUCGAAUUCAAUAACAAUGAGAUUAAUAAAAAAAAUUAUAAUUAAUAAUUAAUAAUUAAUAAUAAAAAAUAAAAAUUUAUUUGAUUGAUUGUUAAUAAAGUUUUUUAGUUCUAAUAAAAAAUGAAAUGAUACGUUUUUUUAAUUAAUUUUUGUAUUUUUUAAAUAUAUAUUAAAAGAUUUGUAUCAUCUUAUUAAUUUUAUUUAUAAAAUUAAAAAUUUAAAUUGAUUGUGUAUCAAAUAUUAACUUUUAAAAAAUUACUAAUUUUUUAUAAAAAAUUAUCGAAUACAACAUUAAUUAUUUUUUUAAUUUUAUAAGUUGAGUUAACAGGAUAAGACAAACCCUUUGAUAUAUAUUUAAAGAAUAAAAAAACUAAUUUUAAAAUAAUAAAGCAUGUAUCAUUUUAUUAAUUUCUUUUGUAAAAUUAAAAAAUUAUAUUAAAAUAUAUCAAAUAAUUUAUCAUUUGAGUUAAUAUUUGAUACAUUCAAUAUAAAUUUUUAAUAACUCGAAUCAAAUUAAAAAAUUGUUAUAUGUUUUAUUUUUUUAAUUAAAUUUUUAUUUUUAAUUAUAUCUUAAAGGUAAAGGGUAUGUAUCAUCUUAUUAAUUUUGUUUGUAUAAUUUAAAAAUUUUACUAAUAUAUUUAAUAAUUUUUUAAAUAAAAAAAGUCAACUUUCGAAAAUCAAUAGAGAGAAUUGGUAAGAGUGGUUCGAAUCUUAAUCUUUAAAAAAAUUAUUUUAUAAGGAAAAUAAAUGAAUCAUUUGAUGCGAUGACUAUUAAAAAAUUUUGAGAGAGGUGGAUUUUGUUAUAACGUUUUUGGUUCAAUCAUUGAGGGAUUAUAAUAAACCCAGGAGUAUAUUUUUUGAGAUAGGUAGGUACAAUAUUUUUCUUGGUUUACUAACCUAUUGUAAUUUGAUUUAAUAAUUAGUAAUUAUAUUAUUAGCUAAUCCUUUGCACGUGAAGCGCUUUGUCCAACGCCAAGGGUCUGGAGAGAAAGAAAUGCUUUGUUAGCAUUGACGGAGGACCCAAAUCCAUUCGGGCAAACAUAUGACACUCGGACGUUCUGAAAACCGCUUAGCUUCAAACUUUCCCAUUUUCGAUACGAGUUUUUUCAAGUUUAAAAUAAAAUUGAUAAUUUAAUUAUUAAUUAAAAAGUCAUUCAUUUUAAAAUUUUAGUAUUAAUUACUAUUUUAGUGAGUUUUAAUAAUCUUAAGUUGGAGAUUUUAAUUUUUCAAUCAAUUUUGACAGAAAUGAGAUUGAUUUCAAUUUUUUUUUUAUCAAGUUUUUAAAGUUUGAUUUUAUUUUAUCAUCUCUAAAUACGAACACAUUUUGUUAUAAUAUGAAAUUUAUGUAUCAUUUAAUUUUCAAAAUUCUCUAUACGAAAAAAAGUCUGUUUUAUCUUUUACAAAACAUAAAAUUUGAAAAGCUUUGAUCAAUGCCUUUUAAGGAUGCAUACGAUGUGAGGGGAGCGAAUGCCUCGUAUCCCAAACGACGGUUCUAAAGAGAACACAAUUAUUGUCCAUGACCAGAAGGGGUGAGGGUAGGAAAUGAAGGAAGAGUGAUAAUGAUUCAUUUCAGCUUCCGUUUGAUUGUUUUUAUAGUAUAAGGCAAUUGCAAAGGGGUUUAUUAGGACGAUAAAAUAAUUCAUAUUUAAUAAAAUUUAAUUUAUUUUAAUUUAAAAAUUAAAAAUAAAAAAUCAAGUCAGAGGUAAGUCAGAGGUACAUCGUUUUUCUUUGAAGUAGAUUCAAGUUAAAGUCAAAUUUUAUGUUACAUCAACCCAACUAGAGUAUGUAUACAAAUGUUUUUAUUAUUUAUUUAAUUUAUAUAUAUUAUAUUAAUAAAUUUAUUAUUUAAUAAUUUCAUUUAAGAUAUUAAUUUAAUAAAAAUAUUAUAUUUAUAUAUAAUUAAGAUAUAAUUUAUAUUAAAAAUAAUAUUUUAAAAUAUUAUAUUAAAAUUAAUUUAUAGUAUGAUCAUAUCAAUUGUGGUUUAUAAAUAUUCAAAUCAAAUAAAAAAUAAUAUUCAAAAUGCCUAAGGCUUUUUUUUUUAAGUAAAUUACAUAAAAAAUGAAGAAAACUUAGUGAAUAAGGGUUUAGAAUUUUGGACUUUUUUUAACUUUACAUAUGAGACAAUGAAAGCUAAUGUGACAAAGAUUGUUAAUGGUUGUUGAAAAAUUCAUGCGGAGCUUAAAGAAAAAUUACGUAGAUGAGUGUAAAUUAUAUUUAAUAAUUUAAAUUCAACAUAAGUUGUAUUUAAUAAUUUUAAGUAAGUUAGAGAUUAAUUUAUUUGAUGUAAGAUAAUAUUUUAAUGAAACGUUAAUUGUGGUUGUUAGGUGAAUCUAUUUAUGUGCAAAGGGAUGGAGGUAAGCUUAUAUUACGACGAAAAGUUUAGAUGUUAAUUAUCUUUAACGAAGAUGUGAUAAUAAGACAUAUAUUAAUUUGAUGAGCGUAAAGAUUGAUUUGUUGAUUGAGUAAACAAGUGCAACAAUCAUUAAAAAUUACUCUAAAAAGUUGGAAUUUGUUUUUUUUUUUAAUUUAUUUUAAAAUAUUUUUAUUUUCUUAAACUUUAGAAAACAUAUUGUAGAUAGAAAAAUCUCAUCCAUUUAAUUACUCAUGGAUUGAGAUUGUAAAGAACCAAUUAUAAAUAAAAAAAAAUUAUAGAAUUGAACAAAUACAUAAAUUGAGACAAAAAGAUCUUGAUUAUUCAAAUUGAGAGAAAAUAAUAUAGAGUGCAUGAAUGUUGAUUUUGGAGAAAAAUAAUUAGAGUUAAGAGUCUUAGAAGUGGGUGAUGUAUAUGAUUAACUUUUCAAAUGAAACCAUAAAUUAAAGAGAGUUUAGAUAUAUUUUUAGAUAAAAAUACUAAUAUUUACAAAUUUUAUAUAAAUAAAAUAUUAAGAUAUUAAUAUAAAUAUAAUAUUAUUAUUUUUUAUUUAGAUAAAUUUCAAAAUAAUCCAAACCAAACUAAAACUAAAACUAAAAUUUUAAUUUGAUUUGGUUUUGAAAUCAAACUAAAAGUUUUUAGUUUUCAAACCAAAUUAAUAGAUUUGAUUUUUUUUUAUUUUAACAAAAUAAUACUCAGCUCUAAGUGAUACCCAUUAAGAUAAUAUUUAAAGAAAUAAAACUGCAAUUAAUGAACAGUUUUCUCUUGAAUUUAGCACAAUUAAUGCUAAAAAAAUUCUUAAAAAAAUUAUUAAAUAAUCUUUAAUAAUUAGAUUUAUUCCAAAAUAUAAAAAAGGAAUGAAGAGUUCAAAACCCAAUUUUAAUGCACUAAAGACGAAUAAUCCUACUCUCUAUCCUUAAAGCCGAAGGGUGUACAAGAAGGUGAAAAAGUAAAUACUACCGUAACUGGAUUAAGGGAAAGGAGUUUAAAAAAAAAAAAAUAGUGGCUAGAAAAACCCAAAUAUAGUCAGGUCAAGUAUCACGGCACAGGUUAGAAACACAAGAAGCGUAGGGACCCGCCAAAGAAAAACAAAGUUGGCUCGAUUUAGAGGUCGGCCGAAGUCUGCCCCCCUUAUUGCCCGCCUUGCUCUGUCCAAUCAACUGCAUUAGUGGGAAACUGUGAACACCCACCUUUUUUUCCCUUCCCUAAUUCCAUUACUCUCCAUUAUUACCCGACUUAAUCUCACCUAUUGAUUUCCUUUUUUUUUUUUUUUUUUUCAGAUUUUUAAUAAAAAAAUAGCUGCUUGCAAGUAAAAUAAAAAUGUUAAGUUAUAAUAUGAGAUACGUUACUCUCAAAUAUAGUCAAACUUAAGCAUUUGAUUUUUUUUUAAAGAAAGUUGAAAUAUGAAAAUAUAAAAAAGAUUGAUAUGUCAUGAAAUUUGAAUUUAAUUAUGUUAAAUAUUAUUUUUAAAAAAAUUAUAUAAAUAAAAUGACUUAAAUUUUAAAUAUUUAAUUUAAUUGUAAGUGCAUAUAUCUACUAUUUAAAAAAUCAAAUUAUUUUUUUAAAGCGAUUAAAGGAACAAAUCCAUCAGAAUAAAACACCAAAGAAAUAUCAAUUUCAAUGCUUCAAAUUGAGACAAAAUUAAUUAUGACCAAUAAAUCAGAAUCGAUCACUGUCUUAUGCUAAUUUUCAGUUCUUUGUUUAAGCAAAAAAAAAAAAGCAGCACAUCAUGUUCUGGUGACAGACUUUACGAAAUUUCUUUACGAAGUUGUCUACUACACGACAAAUUUAGCUUCAACGUGCUUGAGGAUGAGGCAAUUUCAAUUGAUUAAACAAGCGGCGACGAUAACAAAAAAAAAGGAAAUUAAAAACAAAAUUUUGAAUAAACCAGCGGGCAGUCAAAAUUCGCUGGAAAAUUGUGUGCUAUUGUCUUAUUUCGCAAUCAAUAACCAUCGUCAUGUUGUCUUAUAUGAGAUAGUAUCCGAUUGGACUAUGACGUAUAAUGUUUAUUCACGACUAUUUAAUCAAUUAGUUAUCAGUUACUAUUUCAGCUUGGAAUGUUAUAAUCAACUAAUUUGAAGGAAAAAAAAAAGUUGGUAAAGUAGCAAUUUCAAUUCAAAUAAAAAUUUCAUUUGAUUUCUUAAAAAAAAAAUCACAUCAUAUAUUUUCUCACGAACUAACACCUAAUACAUAUAAAUGUUACAGAUGUGAACCCACAAAAGAAAAAUUAUUUUUAUAAGUCCAAUCUCUGUGAAAAAACACUUUAAACUAAAAUUUAAAAUGUAUUAAGUUAAUAUAAAAGAAUGCACCUUUAUGAUUUCUAAAGAAAGAGAUCAAGCCAAAUCUUGGAAAAAAAUUCAAUCAUGCUAAAAAAAUACACACUUUAAAAAAAAGUUUUUCUUUUUUUUUUUAAUGUACUGAUAUCAAAAUUGACAACUCGCUCGAAAUGUGUUUGGAUGUGAUAUUUGAAAAAGAAAUUUUGUUUUCAUUAAAAUUUUAAAAAGAUUAAAAAUAAAUUUACUUAUUUGAGUAAAGAAUAUGUGUGUAAUCGAGUCGAGUCAAGUUGAUACAGUGAAAAUUCUGAGUUCGAGUUCGACUUUCAACUCGUCACUUGAUACUCGGUUUAAACUCGAUCGAGUUUUAUUUUUUUAGCUUGAGUUUGAUUUGUGAUUAAAUCGAAUUGCUCAAACUCGUUUAAUUAAGCUCGAUUAAUAUAUAAAAAUAAGUUUGAUUUUUAUACUUGAUAAAAGCUCGAUUAUUUGUAUUCGAGCUCGAGCUUGAAUUCGAUAUAUUUUAUUAAUUAAAAUAAUAAAAAAAUUAAGUAUAAAAGCUCGAUUAAGUUCGUAAACUACUCAAGUCGGGUAUAAAAAUACUCAAAUUCGACUCGAUCGAUGAGUCAAAUUACUCGAAUUAGACUCGAUAAUAAUCGAAUCAAAUUCAAGUUUUAUUCGAAUCGAAUCCAAGUAAUUUAAACGUAUUAAUAUAUCAUUUACACUCAUAAUAAAAAAAUAAUUUUCUAAAUUUUUUUAAAAUUUUGUAUCUAUUUAAUGCAUAAAAUCACUACAAAAUAGAAAACUCAAAUUUAAAAUAAUAUUUUAUUUAAUUCUAAUGUUUAUUAUAUUAUUAAUAAUAUCUAUAUAUUUUUACAAAUAUAACGUUAUCAAUAUUACAUAUUUUAUUUAUACGUAUAUAAUUUUUAUUUUUAAUAAUAUUAUUAUUUUAUAAUUAUUUUUUAUCUCGUCAAAUUUUGAUAGAUUAAAUUUUUGUAAAAAAAUAUUUGUAUAAAUAAAAUAAUGACAAAUAUUAAUAUUUUAAAAUAUCUUUAUUUUUUAAAUUUCUCUAUCCAAGAGGUUUGAUUUCAUAAAUAAAAGAUCUAGAUUUGGGCCAUAAAUGCUCUAACGUGGGGUUCAAAUAUUGUUAAUUGAUAGCGUCAUUUGCCACAAUGGUAAAGUCAAUAGGACCAAUCAGUUGGUGAACCCUCACACCAAAUGUUAGUUUGAGUGAGUUAUCAAACCCAUCUGUUGGAUACGAGAAGUUUUUAUCAUGGGCCUUGCCUACUGCCCUUUUUUUUGUUUUUUUCCAUCGGGGAGUUCGAUUAAUGGCUAAUUUUCAGUGGUCCUGAUUGUUCGAACCUCCCCAUCAAAACUCUCGCUAUAAUCCAACGGUUAUUUAUUCAUUAAUUAAGCUACUUUGGACCACUCUCCCAAGGAUCAGGCCGAUGGGUCCCGAUCCUUUUUUUUCGUCAUUGAUUUGAUGGUUUCUUUAUUUCUCAUUUAUAACACUGAUAUUGAUGUCCGAGAAAGAGCCCCACUUAGGUUCGGCCUUAGAACAGUUUUAAGUAUUUACAUCUACAAGUUUUACUAUUUACUUAGAAAUGAAGUUCUUUGAUUUAAACAACUUCUUCCCCGUCUCUCGACUCCCGUGUUGUUUUUCAAUAGAGAAAUUUACAAUCAGUGAAUUUUUUCGGCCACAGCCAAGCAAUCACUACUAAAAUUUUUGUGAUUGAACAUAGAAAAAUAAAGAAGAAAUGAAGGGAGUAAAUGCAAAAGUGAAAUUGGUAUUUGGUGGAAGAGCAAGCAUAAAUGAUUGAGAAACGAAGAACCCAUUUUUAAGCAGUAGAGUCGCUUGGGCAUUGAGAGCAAAUAGUGACGAGGAACUGAUAUGAGAGAGCUUUGAUGCCCCAUAGACUGGCACCAGGUGGCUUCAGGGUGUCAGUUAUCAAAGCAUUGAAACAUCUACAAAUGUCACAUAUCUUUCUUUUUCGAGAAAUUAAAGCCUUAUGCAACGGGCCAAGAUCUUCCGCUUAUAAUAGUAAAACUAGUGCUGUUUGUCAUUUUCUUUUACCUGUAGAGUCUCCAAAAUUGCAGGGCAGGCAUGUAGAACACCUGCAAAAAAAAUAAAGUAUAAGAAAGAAUAUCGAAAAUGGUUGGGAGUUGAGGGUCAACUACAGUGGGGUUUUGGGAGUAGGAUUUCGACUUUCGAGGGAUGGUUUUUUGGUGUAAAGAAAUCAGUUUUGUUUGGCAUCAUUAAAUACUUUACUUUAAAGAGGUAAUGUCAGAGUGCUAGCUGUGCAGGAGUUGUAUAAUACUGUACUUGAUAAUGUUAAGUACAUAACAUAACUACAAAAAUCUUGAAUUACAGAAUAUAAGACAAAUUUCCCGUUUUGUUGGCAUAUUGGUGUUGCCAUCUGGCCUUUAGCUAAGGGCUGUACUUUUUCUUUUUCUUUUUUUUUACUCCUUAAAAAGGAAAAACCCAGCUGCGAUACCUUGAGUAAGGUCGGCCACCCUUGGUCACGGUCUACGGAGAUUGUGUAUUGGAGUUUGACUCGAAUUGUAAAUAUUUAUUAUUUUAAACAUGUGAGAUGUUUAUAUAUAUAUAUAUAUAUAAUAGUGAGAUUUAUUAAAUUAAAAUAGAUCAUAUUUUAUAAAUUUAUGUUAUCAUGAUAUUUGAUAUUAAAUUUGAUUUUAGAGUAUUAAUGAUAUAUAUUAGAGUAAGAGAAAAUAUCAUAAUCUUAAAAAGUUAUAAAUCUAGCAUUGAUUAUAUAAUAAAAUUUGAUUGAUAAUUACAUAUAUUCAUACCAUUUGCAACCAAUGAUACUAAUUUUAUGAAUAAAAUCAUGAGAUUUGAUAAAUCAAAUCCAACGAACCUUGUAAAUUUGUAUGGACCUGCCAGGGUUAUUGGCUUUGCUGCUAGUGCUAUUAUGUGUCAUGGGAAGAUCAUGCUGAAACCUUACCCCAUAAUCUCUUAUCACAUUAAGAGAAAGCCAAGCAUGAUUUCUCUUGAAGAUUUUUGAAGCAACUAUAGGCUCGCCUUUUAUUAGUGUGUGUGUGUAUAUAUAUAUAUAAAGUCUUACCAGUAGUAUAAUUUGGGAUGUCGUUAAGUAAAUAGGAAGUUUAAUUAAUAGUAUCUAAAAGUUAAGUUAAUUUGAGAUUAAAAAAAAAAAGCUGGUUUAUUAAGUGAUAAAAAUGAAGCAUAAUGCUACUAAUUCAACAAUACCAAAAUCAUGAACAACUUAAAAAAAAAAAAAAAAGAAACUGCCUAUGUUUUAUAAUUAAAAAAAGUUUUCCCCUCAUAUGAUAUAAUCUAUUCCUAUUUAUGUACGAUUAUAUAACUUUUUUUUGCAUUAUACUGUAAUUAUAAAAAAGUAAUAGUGGGCCAGAAAUGGUUAAUGACUAAAAAAACUGAACUCUUCAAAAGCCCAAUCAACUUGGAAAGGCUCAGACAUCAUUGACCAAAUCGGGCGAGCUUUACAAAAGCCCAAAAAUGUUCAAACUGCUAAAAACAAAACCCUAGCCCGAUAUCUGCACGGCUUCUAUAUUUGCCCGCUUUUGAGUUCAUCCUUGCAAAUGGCAGCUGAAACUUAAAAUUGGUCAUGUUUUGGCUUUGUUUUUAUUUUCUGUAGCUGAAAAUUUCUGCCGUGGUUAAUAUAUUAAUUUUUUUUUUGGUUUUAUGAAGGUAUUUUAGAUAUUUUCAGUGGAUUAUUAUUAGUAUUAUUAAGAAUAAAAGCUGAUGAUGAGAUGUGAUUCAUAAGGCAAGAGCUGCAACAACAAAUAAAGCGCACCGUGUCGAUCCUUUCUGCAUGGGUGGUUGUUUGCGUUGAUGAAAGUGCCAAAAUGCUAAUCUGAGGCUUUUUCUUAAUUAUUAUUCCCCGCUCUUUGAUCCAUUUUCUUUCCCCUAAAAAUUAUUAUCAUUGAAGAAUCAGAUUUGUAUCCUAAAAUUUGUCAAAUUUACAAUUUUCAGAGUCCAACUGCCAGUUGGACAAGGUUUAGGAUAAAAACCAGCAAAGACAACAUCCGAGAGUGCCAUGUCCUGGAGUACCAAUUCAUUCACCUUAUAUGGUUUCCAUUGCUUUUGUUGUUUAUACAGUGAAUCGUGAAUGUCUUUAACUCCAAAACUGUAUAAGUUGCCUGGCAACUGGCAAAUCACACAAUAACAUGUGAAGACCAACAAGAGAAAUUGGCAAAUUGUUAAGGGUUUAAUUUUAAGUCAAUGGUUUCUUUUUUUUUGUCAGGGUAAAUGUUGUUGAAAUGCGCGAAUUUCGACCGUCUGUAGCUGCUAGGGACGGCAAUCAAGUCCAUUUUCGACAGGUUUCAGUUCGAUCCGAUUUUAUAAAGUUAAAUUUUUUUUUUGAAUUUCGAAUUUUGUGUCGGAUAAAAUUAUGUAACAAUCGGGUUUGGGUCAGGUUUGGGUAUGCAUAAAAUCCGACCUUACUCGAUCCGAUAUUAUUUAAAAAAAAUUAUUUUUUAAUUAAUUAAUUAUUUAUAUAUAUUUAUAUAAUGAUAUUUUUAAAUAUUUAUAUUUAAAAAAUAAUAUUUUUAUUAAUUUCGAAUCAGAUCGGAUGCGAUUUACAUAAUAUCGAAUCGAAUCGAAUUCGAAUAUUAAAUAAUUCAGAUCGAAUUCAGGUUUAAUAAAACAUAAACUCAAAUCGGAUUCAAGACGAGUUUUACCAUCCCUAUUAGCUGCAAGUGUGAAUUUUGCAUAUUCGUUGAUUGAAGCUCUGAAUGAUAGAUAAAGGGUCAACAAGGAAUAGUAGUUAAAACUCACCCCGAACCGACCUGAUGCCAUUCCUAGUAGCUGCAAGUGUGAAUUUUGCAUAUUCAUUGAUUGAAGCUCUGAAUGAUAGAUAAAGGGUCAACAAGGAAUAGUAGUUAAGGAUAUAACUGACUUGACUGGUAGGUUUCUUGUUGUGGGAGACCAAACACGUAUCCUUACAACAGUGCAGCUUAAACCUUCUCCCUUAAGUAAACUCCCUAUUUCACAUUAUGAGUCCAAACUAGUUCGAAGACUUCGCAAAUACCUUAAAAGGACGAUCGGCCCUGAUAUUUCAUUUCUGUAAGAUACCUACGUUUCAAGACUGCAAUUCUCUUCGGCAACCUCUUGCCAGUGGUGGAGAUUGAAGACAGACUAGGAAGUUAGCCAUGGGACCUGGCGGACCUGGAGGAGGACCAGGAGGACCUGGUGGUUGGGGAGGAGGACCAGGAGGGCCUGGUGGAUUUGGGCCUGGGGGUCCUGGAGGUCCCUGGGGCCCUGGAUUUGGAGGCCCUGGUUUUGGGCCUGGUGGUUUCUUUGGUGGCUUUGCUAAUGGCUUGUGCAAUAUGAUUUCUUCUUGGUAAGCGAUCAAUCUUUCCGAAUUCUCCUCCCAUGUCUAGUUAACUGCGCUUUGAUUUUCUUUUCCCCACCUUAAAUUGUUUUUGAUUGCAGCUUCUACUGCCUGUGCUGUUGUUGGCUACUACAGGACUGCUUUGGUGGACCCCGUGGCUAUGGCCCUCCCCCAUUCUAAUCUUUUGUGUUUGUUGAACAGCAGUCAUCUGCUGGCUGCUGCUCCCGUUCUGUUGUGUCUUUCCUUAAACCUUACAAUACAGUUCUACAGUUUCUUAAUUGCUGUCCACUUUGUUUUGUUGUUUCCAAUUCUCUUCUUAUCUAUUACCAUGCACACUGGUAUCAGAAUUAAUAAAUGCUAUAAUCUGAUUAAUUGGCUUGCUGUUGCUCAUUUCACUUGGGAAACUUAAUCCUAACUUUGCUCUGCGUUUUUCAAGUUCUGUUAUCGGAAUUUGUGUUGUACCAAAGAAUGAACUUCGUUUUUCAUUUUAUCCACCUCAGUACCAAACAUAAAAACAAGUCCCAAGCUUGAGGACAGGCAAAAGAUUAACCAAGAACUUGAACAGUAAAUAUCAACAAUUAUGCCAAACUGUUAGUAAAAUGAAUUUCUGACUAACAUUUAACAGGCACAAUUUGAAAAAUGAGGAAGCGGACAUCUAAAAUGGACAAAAGUCUCCAACAGGGAAACCCCAUUAGCAAAUUCAAGAAGACAUUAGACAGAUUUUCUAGUUUCUUCUCGCUCAAUGAUCAAAGAGACAACUAUGUUAGCAAAGCACGCGACAAACGUAGCGAUCAUGUCUCGCUCAUAAUACAAACAGUUAUAUGUACAGCAAAGAACUAAAAUAAAAUUUAUACCCCAAACUGCUCAUAUGGAAACCAGAAAGCAUUAAAGUACAUAGAAACUUUGUAGCAGAACAUUCCGAGUCCAUAGCAUGACUAUUACUCUGCAAACCAACUAUUUUGCAUCUGGCAAUACCUGCAGUCCAAAAGCAGGAGCUUCAACCACUUAAGAUCCAUAAGCAAAUGUAGGAAACCCUAAAAGAUUGAUUAUACUAACAAAUAACUAAACAGAUAUAGAAAAGUUGAAAUUUGGUAUACCAACAGAAAGCACAAUGGGCUUAACUAUUUGUCUCUAUCCAGAAAAAUUAAAAAGGCAUUGACAAAAAUUAUGCUUAUAUUGAGACUAAUUUGUCAGAAGUCCAAGAGUUAUGUUAGACUCAUACCUGAUUGCAAAUCACUCACAAGCAAUCUUGGUGUCAAAGCUACUAAGGCAUAUAGCAAAUGCCUGAAAAGCUGAGAUUGGAUACUGAUAAUCCAUGGUAAAUACAUCCUUUCCCACUUUUCCGAACUGGAGAAUGACAUUCUCAUGCUCCUGCCCAGCAACUCCAUUCUCUGGAGAAGCAACCAGCUGAAAAUUUUUGACUGAAGCAACUGUCACCCGUCCAUUGAAGUUCAGACACCAGCACUGGAGUUGUUCAUGCCACCUGGGUGCCUUAUUCCUCAACACCAGCAUUCCAUCUUUCUGGCCAGACAAAGGUCCAGACAGGAAACUCUCUAAGCGGGUUGAUUUUGAUCUAAAGAAUGGCAGUGAUGGGAAGGUAUCCAGAUUAUUGUGUAGGAACUCAGUCUGAGUUGGAGCAACACCUCCAGGCUCAAUAGAAGAGGCUGGGAUUGCGUCCAUGACGCAUUGCAUUCUCCUUGGACCUCUAUUUUCCAGAAUACAUUAAGUUAAAUGAGCAUACAAAAACAACUGAUGACCACCCCCAGAUACAGAAAGAGAGAGAGAGAGAGAGAGAGAGAGAGAGAGAGAGAGACUUUCACUAUACAAAUUACCUAGAACCCAGGACAUUCAACUCAUAUGAGAUGUGGGCUACAGGAUAGUUUCCAGCUGGGACACGAGGAGAGACUUGUUUCACGUUAAUUAGCCUGGUGGAGCGACUUUUAGUUACUUUGGCUCCAGCAUUUGGAGGCUGUGCAUCAUAAAUUGUGAAUUUGGUCCCCAAAAAGUUUGAUCUGUUAAAGCUAAUCAAGGUAAGUUUAGUUUUCCAAAAUGAGUAAUGUAUCAGCAAAAUCAUUAUCCAGCUGACAAUACCUCAAUUUUCCAAUGUAGGUACUGCUUCCUUUUGACACAUCAUCACCAUUUAAUGAUAUGAUGUAAUCUGUGCAGGUAGGACGGCGGCACUUCCUUGCAGCAAGAAGAAACUUUCCAUCAUCGUUUGAAGCUGCCAAGAAAAUACACAAAGCAAAACAUUUCACAUAUACAUCUAAGGAAAGACACCCAGAGAGAAGCAAGGUGCUCAUCAAAAUAAUCAAAUAGUUAAGGCACUAACUUUCUAUGAAUCUAACUACAUCAUAUAUCCAUCAACAUUUUUAAUUCAAUCAAUAAAUAUAAGCAAAAUCCUGUCAGCAGACACCAGCACCAAGCAAUACGUGAUGGUAAAGCUCACAAUACCAACCCCUCCCAUCACACCCAACAAAAAAACAUAAUCAAUAAAAAGAAGCUCACCAUGAUUCAAGCCAAGGUAAAGAUAAUAUGUCUGGUUGCUACGAUUCCGUUUUAUAUAGCAUUGAAGGAGGGAGUCCCUUGGCCCAGGCUGCAAAAACAAAACAACCAAAGUCUGUGAACAUGUGCCCUAACUUUUCAGUUACUUAUUCACAGAAAUUGAUGAAUAAAGAAAAUUGUUUCAACUUCCAAGUACAAACAGAGAGCUUAUAGUCUAUUCCACAUUAAUUUAAACAGAUACCUUUUAAGCAAUUAUACUGCCAAAAAACUCUCAAGUUCACAAUUCAUCUCAGGAGCACAAAUAGUUGGAAUAUUAGGAGAUUAUGAAAUAGAAUUUCAUGUUCGCAGUUGAUCACUAAAGUUAAAAUUUUAUGAUGCAAUAACUUAACAAGAAAAUUUUUUGUGAUGCAGCAGGAUACUGGUACAGUACCCAACAUAUUUCUAACUUCAGAUUCCUAAACUUCCUAAAGAGUAUUGCAAGGGCCAAGGCAAUCCUAGAAUGCAAUACGGUUCUCAGCUAAACCAGCAGAAAGGACAAUACAGCCCAUCAUUUUUCACAUUUAUCAGCACUGUUCAACCAUUACUUAUGAAAUCACCACACAAAUAAGAGAAUACAACAGGCACAUGGUAUUGCUACUAUUUUUGAAAAUGCUACUAAAUAUUCUUGCUUCAAUGAUCAAUCAAACUUGAAAAAGAAAAAAGAAGACUAAGAACUAGAGAUUCAAAGCCAGAGUAUAACAGAAUUGCUUUAAGAUGAAUACAUAACCAAAUGAAAGCAAUUGAAUCAAAUAGUAAAUCAGAUUGAGGAAGAAAAAAGUACAGACUGACAUCUAUUACCUGCUUCAAUGAGAUUGGAUAUGUCAACUUGCCAGAAAUUUCGGGGGUUUUCACAAUUUCCUUCAUAAUCUCUCUCCAAUUCCUACAUACACCAGCACAAGCAACCACAUUCUUUCGUGGAGGCCAACUACUCUCCGAUGCUUCUAUUCUUAUCAACACAUCCCUCAAAAGCUCAGGAGGCAUGUUUGCCCAACAACUCUGCUUGAACGCAUCAACUGGAACUGAACUAUCCUGAACUACCCUGUGUGACCUCGAUCUCAUGCCAUACCCAAACUUAACAUCAAACCCUUUUCGGGAGAUACUCCCCAACUCCCCCUUCAUGUCCUGGAUAAUACUCUUAAUCGACAUUGAUGCCUCAGUCCUAAUCGUCUAGAAUCCAAUGAUAGCUUAACAAAGCACUUCACCUCUAAAAUUUCUAAUAACUCAACAAUGUACUUAAAAACAUCCAAUUUUCCUCCAAUUCUCUACACCAAACACCAUAAAAUGAUCGCUGCUAUCAUACACCAUAAUAAACACUAAUGAUUUGAAUUAUGCAGUUGUAUUAUACAAGAGUAUAAUCAACCCAUGUUCCAAAACCUCUCAAACUUCAUACACAAAUAAGCUAAUAAGCACUAAACAACAUGAUCGAGAACCAGAAGUCCAAUAAGAUGGAAAAAUAUUCCACUAAUCGAAGUGAGUCAGCACCCCACAAUCACCAGUUCCCCUACAAAACAAUGUAGAUUACCAUCACUCACACCUAGAAAUAGACAGUAACACCAAGCAUCAAAAUCUUACAAUUUUGCCCAUACUACAAAAACUUACCUUUCACCCAAUAAAUCUAGUGACCGAACAAAAGCAAGCAAUAAAAAAAAAAAAAACAACGAACUUACAAGAAACAAUAUUCAGACAAACCACUGCAGAUCUCUCCCCUUAUCCUAAGAAACCAAGACCCAUAAAACGACCAGAAAACAUAAUAUAAAUUGAGACAAUUUAUCAAACCUUAAAAACAUCAAAGAACAUGCAAGAACAUCCCGGGCCAACAUGGAUCGGAUUUUCGGGUCAGAUGGUCGACCCAGUUUUCGGGUUCAAUGAAAUCUUGAGGUCUUUGGACGGAGAGAAAGUGCUGUCUGCAGCCAGCAGAUGCAGGAGAGGCAGAAAGUUAGGGCUUUUGGCGUUGUUGUUUAGGUUGCUUUUGGUGCGGUUUAUGCGGGGAGCUUGAGUCAAGGCACCUAGACCAGAAUUUCAAUGGACAAUGGGUCCCAUCUGCUCCUUAUCCAAUACUGCCCUUUGUCCUACGCUAAUUCCAAAGCCCAUGGCCGCCCGAUUCCGGUUUUGGUUUGGUCUUUGGUUUUACUUCACUUUCCACCCUUUUUUAGUUAAAAAAAAAAAAAAAAAAAGGUCUUCCGUUUACAUUGUCUGUAUUCUUUGGUUUCACCGUCGGUACAUCUUUUUAAGAAUUUUCUAAUAUGUUUUGCAUUUUGAGGAAUUUAAUGAUUUAAUAAUAUUAAUUAAUUAGCAUUAAUUACAUAAUAAAUUAAAAAUAUUAGGCAAUUGAUAGCAAUAUGCCCAUCAUUAAAAUUGAUAAUGUACUUAAUACAUAUAAUAUUUAAAAAAUAUAUAAAAUAAAAUAAAAUUAUGAAUAAUAUUCGUAUAUGAUGUGUUUGGUAUAUAAAAUUAUAAUAAAAAAAUAAAAUAAUAUUAUAAAUAUAAUUAAAUAAUAUAAUAUCAUUUUAUUUUGUAUUUGAUUUAUGUAAAUGUUAUGAUAGAAUAAAAUUUUAUCAAAAUUAUCAUUUCUUAAAGUUUAUAUAAUUUAAAUUAUUUAUAUAAAUUUUAAAAUUAUAAUAAGACGUAUAAGUCUAAUCCUAUGAAUUAAAAAUAUUUUUUUAUUUUUAGAUGAUUAAAUCAUUCUAUAACAAUAAAAUGAUUAAUCCUCUUUGUAAUUUCAUCAAUUUUUUAAAAUAAAAACAAACAUAAUAUAAGACAAUUAUUAUUUUAUUUUAUCAAUUAUCAUAUGCAUUAAAUAUGACCAUAAAAUAUUAAUAUAUACAUGAUUAAAAGUUAGAUAUGAUGAUUUUGUUUGUUAUUAAAUUUGAGAUUUAACUAAUUUUUAAUAAUUAAUAUUUGACAAAUUUAAAAUUUAUAACUUUUUUAUUUAUCUCAAAUUUUGAUCUUUUUUAUAAAUAAAAUAAUCUUUCUAUUUUUAUUUAAAAAAUGUAUAUUUUCAAUACUAAAUUGAGUCAUCAUCCUUCAAAACAAAUAAAUAAAAUUGUCAUCUCAAAUAAACAAAUAAAUAAAUACCAAACAAGAUAUAAUAUGGUUUUUAUCCUAUUGUAAAAACAUAGUAGUGAAAAAAUAAUAUUUCAUUUAAUUUGGACAACAUAAAAAAAAAAAAAAACUUUUAAUAUAGUAAUUGGUAAGGAUACAUAAAGAAACUUAAAGAGUCUAAAAAUGUUUAUUUGAGGAUGCCUGAGUUAAUGACAAUUAUUCAUGUAAUAUAUUUGGUAAAAAAGAGUUAAAAAUUAAUAAAUUGAAAUUAAAAAAAAAAGGUAUUGUUUAUAUGGCAUGAUCAUAGAGCAUACUUCACAUUAUGAACAAAAUGUAUAUAGUUUCAUUAUCUUUUUCAUUAAUCACGUUUAUUUUGGGUGACAGCCAAAUGUGAAUUUGUCAUUGGAGUAAUUACAUUUUGCCACGUUGUUUACUUUCUAUGAUAAAAAAAAAAUGAAAAUUAGUGCAUUAAAAAUUAAAAAUUAAAACCAAUAAAAAUUUUAAAAUUUACAAACAAUAAAAAACAUUAACAAAAUAACACAUAUUUUUUAAAAUGUAAUAUAAGUUUUUUUUUUAAAUAUAUGGUAACCUUUUUAUUAAAUUAAAAUAUUUUACUAACUUCAUGUAAAAAAAACAAACUCAUUGGAAAAUAUGUGAUAAAAAAGAUUGAAUGCUAUUUUAGUAUACGUGUAUAAUUAAGUCAACUGCGAGAGAGUGAGAUUGGAGGAGUCUAAUGGGCUAGCCCGCCUUAGUUUUGGAUCAGGGUUUAACUUUAUGUAAGUCCAAUCCGAGCUUCUAGAAUAUUAAAAUCAAGUUUCCAUAAUGACUUUUAUUUAAGAAAAAUUAUCACAUUUAUCAUCCUUAAAACUUAUCGGCGGAAUUAGAGAGUUUUUUUUUUUUUUUUUUUUGGCCAAGAGUUAGAGAGGGAUUAGAGAGUUGACGCAUUAAUCAUUGGAUAUAUUUUAAAAAAUUACUAAUAAAUUCAUAUAAAAAGUAGUGAGACAUAUAAUAAUAUUUUAACAUAGUUUAAAAAAUUUAAUGAUAUUAUAUUAAAAAUAAAUUAUUUUAUUGAAAUCUUAAAAGAAAAAAAAAACUCAAAAUUUGACUCAUCACAUCAAAGCAUGUGUUUAAAUUUCUUCAAAAAUAGUACCUGAAUAAUUUAACAGUAUAAUUUGAAUUCAAAUAUCUCUAUGAAAAAUGUUUAAAGUUGAUAAAAUUUCUUCAUACAUCAAAUGUAAGUAUGAUUGUGAUUGGUUAAAAGUUAUAGUUUGGGACUUACAUGUUAUAUUAAGAUUUAAUUUUAAAUUUUUUGUUGCGUUUGAAAAAUUAUAAUUUAAAAAAGUACAUUUAAAAAUAUGAUUAGGAAAAUAUAGUUUAAAAAAUUUAAUUAUAAUAUUAUUGUGAAAAGUGCCAUUGAUGUAUUAAAAUGUAAAAAUAUAUAUAUAAAUUAAUACAAAUUUAGUUAUAGGGGAUAAGAAAAAUCCCCUCUAAAAGUAUUUUUCAGCCACAAACAAUUUUUUUGCGUUAGGUUUGCAAAAUCGUACUUUUUAUGAUAAAACUCAAAAAUUUCACUCCAACUAACAUUGAGGUUGUCAUAAAAACAAAACUUUUAAUCAAGAGCACUUUUAAACCUCAAUAGUAAAUGGAAACCUUAAUAUAAGAAAUAAUUAGUUUGUUAUUAGUGUGAAGUACAAUUUAUUUUUAUUUUAUUUAAAUUUAAAUAAAAAUAUAAAUUAAUAUUAUUAAAGUUUUAACAUGUUUAAAAUAUAUAUAAAAUAUAAAUAAAAAGAAAAUAAAAAACAAAUCUACCUUAAAUUGAAGAGUAAUAAAAAAGUAAUGUUAAAGUCCGUGAAAAUAUGAAAUAUUGUUUGAAAAAUAAGUUGAAUGAAAAUACGAUAAAUAAUCAAGUUAUAUAAUUUUAUUUAACUCAUAAAUAUAUUUAAAUAAUUAUUUUAUCUAUCUAAUUAUCUUAUAUUUAAAUUAAUUUUCAUUUAAAUCUUGAUAAAUUUUAAUCCAUAAACAUAUUUAAAUAAUAAAUUUAUUUAUAAAUAAUAUUUAUUCAUAUAAUAAUAUUUAAAUUUUAGUAUUUUAUACUUUUAUUUAUUAAUUUUUUUGAUAUUUUAUAUCUUAACUCUAUUCACAAUAGAUAUUUUAAAAAUUUUAUACUGCUAACAUUUUUAUUAUAAAGGUUUGACAAAGUUUAUAAUCUAAAUGGAUUCCUAAUAAUUAAUUUUUUAAAUAUAUCAUAAAUUUAUAUUAUAAAAUAUUCUUGCAAUCGUAUGACUAAAUAGUGUAAAAAUUAUAUAUCAAUUAUAUUUAGCUAUACAUAAAAUAUUAAGAGAUGUUGUAAAUGUGAAAGUGUUAUUGGUACAUCUAACUUUAUUUUAUUUUUUUAAUUUUGGAAAUUAUGCAUGUGCCUUUUGACUAAGUUGAUAUGAUACACUAAUUGUUAGACAAAUAAUUCUCAUUUUGUAAUAUAGAAAGUAAUCUCUAGUCUUCAUUUCUUGUCAAAGUUUAUAUGACUUUGUUAGGACAUGUAUUUAUUUAUUUAUAUUUUAUUUAUAUUUUUUGUAUGAAAUAUAUUUAAAAGUCGAAUAUAAUAUAAUAAGUAUUUAUAAAAAAUAUUAAAGACAUUAAAUAUUUUUAAAAGUUGUAAUAAAUUUAAAUAUUCAUGUUAAUUGUAAAUAAAUUAAAAAACAUAAUUUACUUUAAAUUUGAUUUUAAAUUAAGACAAAAUGAUGGGAUAAAAAUAAUUUCAUUAAAAUUUAAAUUAAUUUUUUAUUAAAAUUUAAAAUUUUAGAUAAUUUAAUAAAAUUUAAAAUAUAUAUUUUUAAAUAAUUUAAAAUUAAUAAAUAUAUGUAUGUCAUUAUAAUGAGAAGUUUUAUGAAUUAUCUUACGUGUUAAAAAAAAAUUAUUCACGUAAAUGUCCAUAUCAAUAAUUACUUUUUAAUAAUUAUAUAUGUUGUAAUAAUAAUAUAAUAUAUAUAUAUAUAUAUGAUGUGCCAACCUCAUUAAUUUGCUCUCACGUUAUCUUUGUCUCGCUGGUGUCAAGCUCUAGUUUUGCAAUUAUUUAUGUAUAUUUUUUAUAUUUAAAAUAUUAAAAAUUGAUUAUUAAAAUAAAAAAUUUAAUAAUUUUAUUUUAAAUUUAUAAUUUAUAAAAUUAUAAAUUAUUUUUAUUUUAUGAUCUUAUUCUUAUGGAAGGUAAAAUUAUAAUAGAUUGUCUCAUGUCACAUACAAUUGCAAUUAAUAAAAAAUUAUAAUAUUAAAUGAUCAAAUUAAUUAAAUUAUUUUAAAAUGAUGUUUAAUAACUUGUGACGUUAAAUUUAAUUAUUUUUACUGUGAAUUAGAUUGCAUUUGUUGUAACGUAGGUGCCAAAUAUAUUAGCAUACACAUUCACAAGUAAAACAACUUUCCCCUAAUUAUAGCUAAUAUUUAUUUUUAGAAAUAAAAGGCAUAAAUGUAAUGCUUACUAUUUUCAUAAUUACUUUCCAACUAAAAACAAAACAGGAAAAAAAAAAAGUGCAAAAGAGCCAGCAAAGUUGGGAUGAAGCAAAUAUUACUAAUCCAAUGACAAAUUGACAUUUGUCGGUCUCCGAGGAUAAAUGGUUUUAGUAAUUUUAUUUGUGUGCAAGGCUAUAUUAGUAAUUUUAACAUCAACAAUCAACUUCAAGCCUAUAACGACUUUUUUUUUUUUUUUUUAAAUAGAUAUUCUUUACCGAGGGACAAUAGUUGGCGCUGUAGGGUCCCACAUCAAAACUCAUAUUCUUCAGAAUUCCACAGUCAGAUUCGAAAUCGUACUAGAAAUCAACGUAACUCCACCGCCUCACGUGUCCGCAACUACACUAUAAAAUUCCAUCCACAUUCCCUCCUUUCGUAGUCGUUGCAAUGUUUAUAUUCGGAUUCUCUCCAGGGGUGGUUUGCCCACUUAUUCUUUGCUUCUUUUUCUUUAAAAGCCCUAUUUCCGCAUUCCCCCUCUCCACUUAUUCUUUUUCUUUAAUUUCUAGCUUUCCUCCGAAGUUGCAGAGUAAUUUCGUGGUAAUUUACUUUAUUGUUUCUUGUUUUCCUUUUCUUUUGUUUGUUUGGAUGCUGGUGGAAGUGAAGUGAAGGGAUACUUGGUCGUUAAGUUUCCUUAAUCUCUCUCUUUUUUAAUGAAUGAAUAAAUUUCAAUGAGAAAGUAGCGUAUAGAAAGUCGAUUUAUUUGCGUUUGAUAAAUCAAAUUGUUGUUUUAGAUUUUACUCGGUGAGUAAUCUUACUAAUUAUUUCUCUUGUUUGGUUUUCGAGAAAGCAGUUGAAAAGAAAAAAAAGAAUAUUUUAAAAAUUUUAAUGUUAUUUAGUUUUCUCUUGUUGUACUGUAAAAACGAUCUCCGUUUUAGGUCAAACAGUUUCAUUGACUUCAGUCGACUUUUUUUUUUUUUUUCAAUUCCCAUUGUUUAAAAUUGUACGCAAGAAAACAGAAAAAUCCGACCGUUUCUUUGGUUUAACGGCCAAUUUUAUGCUAAUGAUUUGAUAGCACCUAAAGAUUAUCAAUGUUUGUUAUUAUUAUCUUUAUUUUUUAACGAAGAGUUGUUUUUGUAUUUGAAUUUAUUAUUUCUAUGAGAUAUGAUCAAUUUCAAUAACUAGAGAACUGAGUUGAAUCUUUGUGUUUCCAACAGUGGAAAUAUUUAGAUUGUGGCAGCUACUUUGGGGUAUUUGAUUUGAGGGCUCUGUUCUUCGCAAGCAUUCAGUGAUGACAUUAGAGCCUGACCAAGCUCCGGUGGAUUCUAUUACUCUAUUUGUGGCACUCCUCUGCUCCUGCAUUGUGAUUGGUCACCUUCUGGAGAAAAACCGAUGGUUUAAUGAGUCAAUAACUGCACUUGCCAUUGUGAGUUGUUCAAAUCACUCCCUAAAUAAUUAACCUUGUUGUUAUCUUAGAUUUGGGUUGGUCUUUGAUUUGGUUGUUGUUUUGUAGUGGGAAAAUUUUUUUUUUGACGAUUUUUGGGGUGAUUGCAGGGUUUUUGUACCGGAAUUAUUAUUCUGUUUACCACUGAAGGAAAGAGAUCACACAUUCUAGUAUUUAAUGAGGAGCUUUUCUUUAUAUAUCUUCUUCCUCCUAUCAUAUUCAAUGCUGGGUAAGUCUGACUUAUGCCAAACUAUGAAGUCUUUGGUUUUGUUGCCCUCAAUAUUUUGAUUGUUGCUAUUGCAAAUAUCAUUUGAAUAUGAUGCAUCAUGCAUCUCAUUCACUUUUUUUGAGGUUAGAAAAUCUUAUGGAUUGUGGAAACUAACUGUCUGGCUUGUUUAUACUUUUAUUUGCAACAUUGUUUCUUGAAAAUUGAAAGUAUUCCUGCCCUUUUUAUCUUUUUAUUGUUGGAAUGCUGUGUUUGAUAAUCUGAUCUGUUUUAAUCCACCAGAUUCCAGGUCAAAAAGAAGCAAUUUUUCCGUAACUUCAUGAUGAUUAUUUUGUUUGGUGCUGUUGGUACUUUGAUAUCGUUUGUCAUCAUAUCCGUAGGUAUAUCCAAACAUUUUAACAUUUCUUAGUGUUUAAGAAAAUCCCUUUACUAUUGUAUAACAUUCUGUUUAACCUAGAUUUUUUAGUCUCCAAAAUUUUGGACUAUACAAAGACAAUUUAUCUAAAGAUAAUUUAACCUACUACAACUUAAAAAGUAGCAUGAAACCUUAAAAUUUGAUGGCUAUAAUUUUUUUUAGAAAAACAAAGAUUAUCUUAAAGAUUUGUUGGUUAUGAAAAACUUAGAAGUUUGUUCUUCAUGCAGAUCACCCUGAAAGCAUACAAGUAUAACAAUCCUCCAAGUGAAUUGAGGAUUAGAACUUCUCUGGCAUCUUUAUAAAUAUUCCUAGGAUUUUCUUGUAUUGCACUUGUAUUGUCAGGAUUUCCCAAGGAAUAUAACAUGUUUGAUGCUCUCAAGGUGUUCAUAGGAUAAUCUUCAAUUAAAUCAACUAAGUUUUUUUUACACUGCAUCUAUAAAUUUAAUUGCUUGUUUAAGUUAUAAUAAGCAUAGCAUGAUAAACUUUUUGUUGGAACUGAGGAAUAGUUCAAAACAAAGAUUGACUAAUAAUUGCAAGUUUCUUUGGAUUGUAAUACCUUUUGGUAGUUAAUUUAUCUUUUCGCUGAUUAGUACCAGGAAAGAGUGUGUUUGAGGCUAAUUGUGUUGUAACUUUUACAAUUAUCUCAUCUCAGGUACCGUGCAGUUAUUUAAGAAAUUGAAUAUUGGUUUCCUGGACAUUGGAGAUUAUCUUGGUAAUGUCUGUGUCUUUAAUUAGUAGUUUGCUGAUGUUUCUUAGUUUAAAGCUUACUUUCAACUGAUAGGCAGUUGCACAUAGGAAAAUACCGUUUAAAGUUUGGGUCAGAUUGUUCAUCUUUGCAUUAUGAAGUAGCUUGCAUUAUGAAGACCAGGAACAAAUGAUUCUCAACUUCUUUUCUUUUGAAUCAUUAUUGGUAUGCUGCAUUUUCUUUUUCGUCUCAUUUGAGGUGAGAUAGUUUAUUCAAAAUACAUGGAUACACACACGCACAAAAACACCCAUAACACAAAGACACAUAUGCUUUUCAUAGAACCAGGGCUUAUAUUACUUUUCAUAAUGAGUUACUAUACAUUUAUUAGAGGCAUGACAGUUGUUAUUUUUGGCUUUUAACGUUAGUUUCUUCUUUUAGCACUUGGAGCAAUCUUUUCAGCCACAGAUUCUGUUUGCACUUUGCAGGUAUAAAUAUUUAUUUGGUUUGUGAAAGUGAAAAGAAUAGUUGAACAAACAUUGUAUUAUAAAUCUUGUAUUCUGUACAGGUGCUUAAUCAGGAUGAGACACCUCUUUUGUACAGUAUAGUCUUUGGCGAAGGUGUGGUAAAUGAUGCCACAUCGAUUGUUCUUUUUAAUGCAAUUCAGAAAUUUGACCUCUCUCACAUCACCUCAAGCAUUUUUAUGGAAUUCAUUGGGAGCUUCUUAUACUUUUUUAUUACAAGCACAUUGCUAGGAGUAGGGGUGAGACCUUUCUUUCUAAUUUUUGUAUCUUUUCAUGCGUGCAUCUGCCGAUUUUUUUUUUUUUUAUGGUUGCAAAAUUAUUUUCAUCAUUUGACCUUCUAUUCUUUGUUUGCAAAAUCCAUACUUUAAGUUCAAUGUUGUAUUAUGAAUAAUCUUCUUAGAUCAUCUAUCUAAUAUUUACACAUUAUAUCUUCACCUUAGCUAAAAGUUGUAUCAGACCUAUAUGACCAGUCAGUUAACUGAAACAAAAAGUGCAGUGAACAUCUUUAUAUUCCAUUUAUUGCCAGGGAUUCAAAGCCAUUGUGACAGGGAGAUUUCUAGUUUAAACUUUUAGUCUUUCCAAAAUAAGACUUAAGAGAUUAUUAAGUCUGCGUUCAAUACAAUCUAGACUUGCUAGAAGAUAAGAUUUUUUUCUUCUAAUCAUUGUUAACAUGUGAUUAUACAUAAUUAGGGUUUACUUAUGUAAAUAGUGCCAAUUACCAUCACAAUGAGCUCUUAAUCUUUUGAUUAUCAAUGAAUUAGCUGUUGGCUUUAAGCUUCUCCUUUGUUUUUCUCAAAGAAAACUUGUACUUUGACGAUAAAAUGAAUAUGCUAUUGCCUUAUUGCAAUUUUUGUUGCGUCAUUAAACCUGCUGUGUGGUAUCUUUCAUUUUCUUUCAAAUAUUAAUAACUUUGCAUAUUGAGUCUUUCCCUUUUCGGUGGGUUUUGUCUAUCUGAGAUUAGAAACAUGCAUUUAUUUUACAUAUUCAUCUAACAUAACAUCAAUUUCACAUGCAGGUUGGAUUAAUAAGUGCAUACAUCAUAAAGAAAUUGUACAUUGGCAGGUGUGUUAAGGGCAAAUGAUUACCUUUUCUUGUUGUCUCAUCUUUUAUGAUGCAAAAAAAAGUUACUUUAUUAUCCCUGUUUAUAUAUACGUUCAUCCCUUAAUUGUGUUAAAAAUGAAAAUGCUUGCAACUUUUAGUCAGAAGCAUUACAGCUCUAUGUUAGAGUGUUUCAAUGCAUGGAUUGGAGUUCCACAACUAUGUUGGUAGGCAUUUUCUGUUCAGAGCUUUAACAAGGUCUAAUAUUUUUGCUUGUCAAAUGUUUGCGAAUUUAUUUAUAUCAGCAAUUGUCAAUUGAAAUCUGAUUAACAAAGUGAUUAUCACCAACCUAAAUUUUCACAUAAUAGAUUGUUUGUCAUGGAUUAACUUAUGAUGAUAAAUUUAGGUUAUACUUGUUUUAGUACGAUGUUUGUCAGAGCUCUGAUGGCUCAAAAACUAAGAAUUCUUACUACAAUGCUACCUCUUAGGAUUCUCCUCAGAAUCUGUUGUUCUCUCUCUCUUUUCGCUGUUGAUAUCUUAUCUUUCUGCCUGACAUGAGAAUCCUAUAGCUCUAUACAAAUAACAUUUCCUUUCAUUUUAAACUAAGUAGCUAAUAUUCCACCAACUUUCAGGCACUCUACCGAUCGUGAAGUUGCUCUCAUGAUUCUCAUGGCUUACCUCUCAUAUAUGAUGGCUGAAGUAAGUAUUCUCUUUAAUAACUCAGUGCCUAAGGAUCUAGCUUUGUAAUAUUCCAGGUACUGUUUGUACGUUGCAUGUCAUAUCCCUAUUUUCUUUGAUAACAGUGUUGGCAAUUGUAUUCUGUUUUUCAGUUGUUCAAUUUGAGCAGCAUUCUUACAGUGUUCUUUUGUGGGAUUGUUAUGUCACACUACACCUGGCAUAAUGUGACUGAAGGUUCUAGAGUCACCACCAAGUAUGUUAAUUUGGAAUUUAGUUCCCAAAUGUUUGAAAGUUAUUUUUUUUCCCCUCUUUAGUUACUCCCUGUCAAACCCAAAUAGACAUGUUUUGACACUAUUGUGCUGAUUAUUGAUUAUUGCAGGCACGCUUUUGCAACAUUAUCUUUCAUAUCAGAGAUUUUCAUCUUCCUCUAUGUUGGUAUGGAUGCUUUGGAUAUUGAGAAGUGGAAAGUUGUUAGCAAAAGGUACUGCCUAUAUUUUUGGCCAAAGGUCAUUUGCAUUUGAUCUUGUCUUGUCAAGUCUUACCCUGUUGCAUAUAUAAUUUUGACCUAUUUACUCUUUGUACCCUUGUCUUUAACUAUUUCAAGAAGUCCAUUAUAUCAUGUCAAGUGAUGGAGAUAGUACAAUAUAGUAUGCAUAUCAGUUAUCAUUUUGGCAUCUUGCUUUUCUUUAGAUGGUAUCAGUUUGUAAUUUGCAUAUCAAAGCAACAUGUCUCUUAGUAGCAAUUGUUCAUUCAUCUGCAUAUAUCGUGUGUUUUUGUAGUCCUGGAACAUCUGCUGGGGUGAGCUCAAUACUGCUUGCCUUAGUUCUAGUUGAAAGGGCAGCUUCUGUGUUCCCUCUAUCCUUUUUGUCCAAUUUAAUUAAAAGGUCUCAGAGUGACAAAUUUACAUUGAAGCAACAGGUUGGUGUUUAGAGUCAUGUUUUGAGUUUUCCUUCCCUUUGACAUACUUGAUGCACUGACAUUUUCAAGUCAAACAGGUUAUAAUAUGGUGGGCAGGGCUCAUGCGAGGUUCUGUGUCCGUGGCACUUGCUUAUAGUCAGGUAAAUUAGGUAAUAGGAUGCAUGACUACAAAACCUCUGCAUUUUGAUGGAUUUAUUGUCCAAAAAUUGGUGAACAUAAAUAAUUUGAAAGGGGUGUCUUUGACCUCAAUAUAAGAUAAUAGUAGCAAGACAUAAUUUUUAUUUUCUUAGAAUGAAUUGGCUGGCUUUCUGAAUUGCUUGCCUCGUGAGAGGAGAUAAUGUUCUGCAGUGUUGGGCAAAAUAUGGUUAAAGUUUUGAAUCUGAGUGCCUGAUCAAACAAUGAUGUAUAAUAAGAGGAAUGAUGCAGCAUGCUUUUCUGUAAAUUGAGAAAUCUCUACCAAAAAAUUGUGAAUUGUUGGGCAACCAGCAUGGAUUUACUUCAGUCAUUGGCAGGUGCAUUUGCUUUGGCAUGUUAUACUGACAUAUUUUUUUGUGUGUAAAGGGUACUAUCCUUUUCUAUUUGAAUGCAAGGAAUCAAAUAAUUGGAGCAUAGCCACCUGAUUUGUUUUCUUGUGUUUCUUUCACUUUGGUUCUUGCCACCUAAGUUGAAAUUUUUUUUUCGAUGUAUAUGCAGUUUACCAGAUCGGGGCAAACUCAAUUGCGUGGAAAUGCCAUUAUGAUAACCAGCACCAUCACUGUUGUUCUUUUUAGCACUGUGGUAAGGACUUAUCUUUAAGUUGGGACUGUUUCUUAGUAAUAAUGAUGAGAUGUACUCUGCAUAAUUUUGUUAAUAAAAACUUUAUCUUGAUUGGUUUGGGCUAAUGCAUGGGUUUCUCUCCACCUGUACGUCUCUCUCAAGUUUUGGUAGUAUGGAAAUUGGAUGUCACAUUUGGUUGUGAUUCCUUGUAAAAUGUUUUCCUUAAUGGCCAUUUUAUUUCCUUGGCAUUAAGUCACUAACCAUGCUUUUACUAGCAUGCAUAGAUCAGAUAUCUUACAACUGUUUUCGGGGAUUUUUGUAUAGCGUUCAAUUUUUUUAGCUGCUGAAUAACUGUGGGCUACUGCUUCUCUCAAAAGCUACAAUUACCCCAUCCUAUUUGCUGUGUUUGCUACCAAAUCUUUGGAAGAAUGCUCUACAAUAAUGUUGCAUGCAUCAAAUUUAGCUUGUAACGUUCAUUUCUUUGAAGUUUGAUUUUCUUCAUUUCAGGUGUUCGGAUUAAUGACUAAGCCUCUAAUAAGGCUGCUGCUGCCAAGCAAGCAUCUUAGCAGCCCCGUCUCCUCUGAAUCUUUUGAUUCUUUUCCUUCUAAGCCGGUGACAGAUCUUCCACUUAUUGCCAACGGGCAAACUGCAGAUUCUGAAAUGGGUGGUGACAGCAUUCCCCGUCCAACCAGCUUACGCAUGCUCCUGACAACCCCGGCUCAUACAGUCCACUACUACUGGCGGAAGUUUGAUGACAGUGUCAUGCGCCCGGUGUUUGGUGGGAGAGGUUUUGCGCCAUAUGUUCCUGGCUCACCAACAGAACCACUUCUUCACUGAUUACAAAUACCAUACACUGAAUUUUGAAUUUGAAAAAAAAAGAGAUAGGGAGAUUUAAGGAUCGGCCUUAUGCAUAUUUAUAUGUAUUACUGAUUAGAGUUAUUGCAUGGUGGAUAACAUGCCUUGUGUAAAUAAUACUGAUUAGAGUUAUUGCAUGGUGGAAAACAUGACGAGAGAGAUGAUGGUACAUUUGUACCCUCUUCCUCAAUUCAGAAUCAGGUGGGUUAGCUUUAUAAUAUUCCACCACAAAACAUACAAGGAAUGUCAUAUAAAGCCAGAGAGUCAUAAAGUCUCCUGAGGAGUGGAUGAGUACGUCAAGAAAAAUCAUUUGCAGGCAUUUAUCUGAGGUCAACCUCUCAAAUGACAAUAACAUUCUUAUUCUACCCCGUCAGGGAGCAGAAAAAUGUGAAAUAUUCAAUAUUCUGCAUGUACUUUUAAAACCCUUUUGACAAUGGUUUCGCCACCAAGUAUUAUAUGGAUUUUUUUUAUAGAGGAAUUUCUUUUUCCAUUUUUUUUUUUGGAAGAGAAAGAAAUAGCAGAAGGUUCAGAUAUUUUCUAACGGGUUUUCGAUGCAAUCUGCUCCAUUAAGUUCCAGAUGUAGACAUUUGUUUUUUGUAUCAUCGACUGGCCGCGACUGUCAAAACCCAUCAUUGAAUUUGUCUUCAGUAUGGCAUUAAGUUAUUUUUUUAAAUUCAUGCCAGAGACUAGUUGUCACCAUUUCUGGCUGCAGUUGGGAAUCAGAAUUGGAAGGUUCUGACGUCAGUCUGACAUUUUGGACCGUUACCGAAAAUCUAUCUUUUUUUUUUGGUAAGAAAAAAAAAAAGAAAAUCGAUCUAUAUUUAUAAGCCCAGCUACGCUCUGCAUGUUGUCCGCUGGGAACAUGUCAAUCCAAUUCAAUUCCGACACAAAUGUCUGAAUUACAGCCAAAUUAUUAUAGGGGAUAAAACCCUGAAACCCAACCACCUAAAUAGACUUGCCCAAUGCACGUCGUUCACCGUAGAAUUCCACAAGAUAGGGGUUUAGAAUUUUUAGUAAGAUCCACCAGCCGAAAGAUAAAAAAUAAAAGUAGUAACCGUUAACCUUACAGCCAUGAUAUAAAACCUCGGUUGUUUCAUCCACCAAUGCCUUCCUUUCAUAUGGGAAAAUAACAAAGCCAAAGCACUUUUUCAUAGCCUAAUCAUACGUCAUAUUUCCAUUGUUCUAGGUAAACCUUAAGAUUUUAUUAAUUCAGUUAUUAUAGUACUAAUAAUUCCAUCAAGUAUACUCAAUAUUUAAUAAUAAUAAUAAUAGUUGUUGUAUAAAGAAAAAACAAGAAAAAUUGCCUGACCAAAUGUAAAUAGAGGGUAGUUUGGUAAAAGCGAAAGUCGAAUUAAUUAAUGGAAUUAAAAGGAUUUUUUGUUUUCACGGCAUUGAAGAAUGCGAAAUAUUCGGCGUCUUACACGUGGUGAAAGGUGAUUGGACAGACCGCAAUCCUAGCAAUAAAAGAAGACAAAAUGGAAUUAGAAAUCGGAGGAAACUGUAUUUAAAACAAUGUCUGUCACUUCAUCUCUCAAUUAAGAGGCUGAGGUCUGAGAGUGGAAAAAGAGAGAGACUAGGGAGGAACGCUCCUUCUCAUUUCUCAACUUGAAAACCAACUCUUUUCUGGGUAACCUUGUUUUGUCUUUCCUUUUCUUCUCUACAUUUUUAUUCUUAUUAUACAUCUCUUCUUCGCAACGUGCUUUACAGUGUAGCAGGUUUAAUUGUGUACAAGAGUUCCUUUUUUUUUUUUUUUAAUAUUUCCUGGUUUUAUAAACUCGGAUGUUGAAACUCUGUCCAGUAAUGGGAGUUUUCAGUGAAGUGAUUGUGUUUUAUUGGAGGGAAUAAGACUUUGUCUUCAGGGCAUUUGAUUCCUCAUUACUUAUUGUAAUCAGAAAUCUUCAAGGGGCCAGUGGGCCACUAGAUUGAAGCAGAAGAUCUCUUUCCAUAUAAAUAUUUUUCUCUUAAUUUUUCUCUGAUAUAUAUGGCAGUAAUAAUUAGUUUCUUCUGUGUUUUGUAACUUUUUUUUUUUUAUUGUAUUUGGCAGGUUUGAAUGUUGAAAUUUCCGCCAAUUGUUUUUAUGUCUAAAUUGACUAUAUUAGCCUUUUCUGUCUUAUCUUUCAUAAACGUUUCCCUGUUUUCUCGCCUUUGCAGGCAUAAAUAAGGAGGGGUAGUUCUGGUUCUUGCCAUUAUAUCAUUUUUGUCGUUCUUUACUGUAAAAUCUGACACUUAAGGGUGUAGGCGUUGGUUUCAGCUUUUUGAGUUUUGACGUUUGGUUUUCAAAAUUCUGUCAAUUAAGGUAAAGAAGAUAGACAAGAGGGAGAUGGUGCAAAUGAUGAACAAGAUGGAAACUUCACGUUGGUGGUGGUUUGAUAGUCAUCACAACGGCUCAAAGCGCUCUCCAUGGCUCCAAUCCACUCUUUCUGGUAAAACCCAUCUCACUUUUUUACUUUAUGUAUAUAUUACCAUCUCAGAUAUCUUCUUUUUCUUUUUCCCUUUUUUUUUUGGGUGCUAGCAGUUCGAAUACAAGGUUUCUUUAUUAUUGAAGCUUUCUUGAUGUUUCCUGUUUCUUGACCGUUGGGGAGGCAUGUGCUUUUUUUUUUUUUUUUUUUUCAAAGUUUCUUGAAUUGCUUUUUCUACAGCACUGUCACUUUUAGGUAUGUAAAAAGAUUUGACUUGCAAGUGAAAUGAAAUAAUGAGAAAUGCUUAACCCCCCCCCCCCCCCCCGAAAAAAAAAAAAAAGAAAUAAUGAGAAAGACUGUGGGUUAACCUUGAGGUGAUAGAUCACUUUUUUCUUAGAUAAAAACAAGAGAUUUUUGUGGUGGGACUGCAAUGGGUUCAUGAGAAUUGGAUGGUAAAGAGUAAGGACUGAGAACAAGAAGUUAAUUUAUACUAAGUAAUUUUAAAAAGUGUUUUGAUGCCUGCCUAAUGGCUGAUUGGUAGGGCCUUAUGUUUCUGAUUACUUCACCUUAUCUUGGUAACAGAAGGUUCCACCAGUAAAGCAUUUUUGUUUUCCCCCCUGAGACACUAGUAGAGACUUAAGGGAAACCUGAGAUGUCGUUAUCUUAAUGCGGAAGACAUUUUUCUGUUCUCUCCUGGAGUGCAGUAUGGGGUGGACAAUAAUUGUAUACUUAUUGUAUAGAUAAUCUUAUCUCUUUAAAAAUUUCAACAUUAAGGCUAGGACCUAGGAGUGAAUCUAGUUCUAGGAUUCAUGAUUCUACCUUUUGAAAUCAGAGACCUGACAAGCUGGUGGACUGGGUAACAACCUGGAAUUGCUUGGUACUGGACUCUGAUCUUGAACCAAAGAUGUGCUGGUGGUUCAGGGGUCCAAAGAGAUGGUAAGCGGGUAGUGGAACAAGUGACAUAUGGUUCCUGUAUUGAGGGAUAAUAUCUUAAUCUUCAUGACUUGGGUUCGGAUGUUUAUUCUGAUUUCUAUGGUCUAAGAUCUGACAGGCUUUAAUUUGUACAUGUGUGUGGUCCUAACUGUACAGGACCCUGAAAUUUAAAUCUCGCCAAGCACUGAUAUUUUUCCCACUUUUUCCUCCAACUAACUUUUGAGAUUACCUUUGCAGCUUAAGUCAUUAGGCCUCUAAAGGCACUCUUUUAUGAGUUAAUAAUGAAUUGGACCCAUUGCAAUCAGGUUAAUUACAAAAGGAUUAUUCUAAAGAACAAAGUAUAGAUUCUGUAAGAACUGAAGAAGUGGGUAGGACCCUGGACUCAUAUUUUAAUCAGCAGUUAUUUCUUUCUUUCUUUUGUUUUUUUAAUCAGCAAUUCUUUUGCUUUUUCUCCGUCUCUUGUAUAUACUUGACAUCCGAAAGAUAUCUGCUUGAUUGAAAGGCCAGAACAUUAGGACAUUACCGGGGAGAAACAGUAAAAUUUACCAAUUUAUUGAACUUCCCUCAAUUAAUUUCUUUUAGCAUGUUUUGUUUGUUCUCUCCAUUUGCUUAAAUGACGAAAUGAUUUACAUGAAUGUCAGAGCUGGACACGAAGACAAAGGCGAUGCUAAAAUUGAUAGAGGAAGAUGCAGAUUCAUUUGCUCAACGUGCAGAAAUGUAUUACAAGAAGCGGCCUGAGUUGAUUAGCAUGGUUGAAGAUUUCUACCGAGCCCACCGUUCGCUUGCUGAGCGGUAUGAUCAAGCUAAGUCAGACCCUGGAACUCGUCUCAUAACAGCAUUAGGAUCCCCAUUUUCUUCCACGAAGUACCUCUCAGAGAAGACACCAAAUGUGACAGAUAAAACCUAUGAUAGCUACUCUGAGACUUUUGAUUCUGAAGACUAUGCUGAAUCUGAAGUUGAUGACCCUGAACAUGAAACUGAGGAAGAAGUUGGGGAUCCUGAGCAGGAAGACAAAUGCGAAACCGAUAUAAUAAUAAAAGAUGUUCAAAAGGAAGAUGGAACCCGACUUGAUCAAGAAGUAACAGAAGAAGUUUCAAGUGAGGUCUGUGAUGAAGUAAUGAAGCUAAGGGAAGAAGUAGAGAGACUGAAAGAAGAGAACAAGUUUCAGAAGGCUCAAUUAAUGCAGAAAGAUGAAGAGAAGAGAGAGGUGAUUAGGCAACUCAGUUUGGCUGUCCAAGUGCUCAAGGAUGAGAAUAUGGUGCUCAAGAAGAGUAUCGUGAAAGAAUCCCCCAGGAAAUGGAGUCCCCUUGAAUUCAGCAAAUUAAAGGGAGGACUUUUUGGGAUGUUAUUCAAUGGAUCUCUGAAGUCUCAUGCUAGUGUUGUUGCUCUGUAGUUUUAGUUUGGUUACAUUAAGGCAAGUAGCAUAUACAUAUAUCCUGUAGAAACACAGCGGUCCAGAUUAGCAAUAGUGGUGUACAUGAGAGGAGAAGGUGGGGGAAUUCCCCUUUAAACUCAUCUAAUUAGUUAUUAUGUGUUACUUCUGAGGAGUGAUCUGUUUUUAUUAUUUGUUUCUUUGAUUUUUAUUCUUCGUUUCCUUAAUUUGACAGAAGUUUGACUUAAUGUAGUCUUUGAACUAAUUAUAUAAGCAUUUUUGGAACAAAACAGAGCUUCUAUUGGUCUAAGUAAAAAUCUUUAUGCUACAUUUCUAUUGAUUUAUGGUUCAACGUACAUUAAUGGAGAGGACUUCAUUUGUUUAUGACAUUAUUAUCUAAUCACAGCUUGCAACAAUGCAAUACACUUAAUUUACCAAACAUCACACUACAAAAAAGAAAUACACAAAACAUAAAAAAGAGAAAGUGAAGGCACUAGGAACAAUGAUUGCGUUUGCCAACAACAGUACCUCACACACCAGAAAGCUGCUGCAAUAAGCAAAGCACCAGCAAACUAAGAAACAAUGUUGAUUUUAGAGCUCGAGCUGAAGUUAGAGAAACCGAAGUGGAAUUUGGCAAAGAGUCAGAUGGUGAAAGUGCGAAACCAGGACCAGGAUCCAAAAUAUUAUCCGGAUUUGGAGGGCUGGGGCUUGAAGGAAUUGUGGGCAGUGAUGAAUCAGUUGGAGAAGGUGCCAUACCUUUAGGAGUAGGGAACAGAGGUUCAAUAUCUGGGGGUAAACUUGGAGAAGAGGCUAGAGGAGUACUUGGCAAGAAUGCAGGUGCAGCUGAUAUAGUGGAGUAUUGUACAUGUAUGUGAGAUGAAGAUAAGGCUAGUGAAGAAAAACAAGCCAUGAAAACCAUGAACAAUAUUCCCCAGGGUGACCAAAGCGAAGCCAUUGAAUGAUGAAUUGGUAUAAAUUCCCAAAUUAUGAAACCUCAAUAAAUGAAUAUAUGGAGAAAGAAGAGAGUAUAUGCAAAAAAUGAUAUUGAGAAGAAUGUGAUGAGGUUCAUGAUUAAGGCUUAAAAAGUUUAAAGCUAAGGAAGUGCUGGUGGGGACAUGAGAUAGAGAGAGAGAGAGAGAGCCGUAUGUCAACAGAUGAUUUGGCAACUUUUAUACAGCUCCGCAGAUUGGCUACCAGACAAUGUGGAUAUGUUAUUUUCCUCUCGAGCACAUGAUGAUAGCCGGGUUUCCUUUAUCCUUUUCCACUGAAUUGUUUUUGGCUAUGUUUCAUCCGUGACAUUCUUGCUUUCUGGUACAAAAAUAGAGAACUAAACCUAUAAAAGAAACAAUAGGUCAUGACAAUGGAGUUGAAAAUUCGUAAAUAAAUUGGUUUUGAGUAAUGCCUGCCCUGGUUUUGGAAAAGUGCUACAUUUUUCCGUUGCCCGGAGUUUCUUUUCAAUAACCUAAGAGAAAAACACAGUCAGUGAAAGCAACUGAUUUCUGUUCGACACUUGAACAUUCAAAAUGAGUGGUUGAAGGAAUUAAUCAUAAGGCCUUAAUGGUCAAUGAUUACAAAAGUCCAUUUUAUGGGAAAGAGAGAAAAUUUUCAACUUUUCGGCUUCUAUUCUUGUUUGGAUUUUUGGACAGUUUCUAGUACUAUUUGAAUCGUAGGCCAUUUUCAAACUUCUUAACAUUAUUAUUUUUGUUUCUUCGAAAGAUAAUUAACAUUAGUUUAUGUGGUGGAAGGUUCAAAUUUAGCCCUAUUACUUCUUUUUAUUGAUAAAAAAAUACCUCUUACUUUUUAUAUUAAAAUUAUUUUAUAAUUUUUUUACAUUUUUUUUUACUUUAAAAACUAUGGAUCAUCACUUUUAUAACAAAUUAAAAUUUUACCAUUAACUACACAAAAGUUAAUUUUUUUAAUUUAAUUAAAAAUAAAUAUGGAGAAAGAGUUAAAGACAAAAGAAGUAAUUGAGAAGGAAAAUGUUAGGCACUGAUUCAGGUGAUAUUUAAAAAAUAUAUAAUUAAAUACACUAUUCUUCUUAAAUUUGGUAAGAUUAAACAAUAAAAAAAUUCUUCUUUUUUAUUUUUUAAAUAAAUUUUCAUAUUUUUAUUUUACCCAAAUAAGUUCUUAAGUCCUUAUUUUUUAAUUUGUAUUCAAAUAAAUCUUUAUUUUAAAUGAAACAUGGAUUUAUGUAAGAGUUUAUUUAAGUAUAAAUUAAAGAUCCAAAUUUUAUUUUUAUAUUUCUUCCAUUUUAUUUUCGUUGUUCAUCCUUUUUCCAAUGUUACAAAGUUAUAUCUUUUUUUUUAAUAUCUAAUUUAUUUUUUAUUUUUUUAAUUUUUAACAAUAAAAAUUGUGAAACUUUAAUUUUAUAAAAAAUUGUGAAACUUUAAUUUUAUAAAAAAUUAAAGAUUUAAUAUUAAAUACAUUAAAGUUAACUUAUUUUUAAACUCUAUGAAAAUUAAUAAAAUUUAAAUAAUUUGAGAAAGAUAGAGAAUAAAUUAAAAGUUAAAGAUUUAUUUGAAUAUAGGUAAAAAUUUAAGAAUUUAUUUGAAUGUAAUAAAAAUAUGAAAAUUUAUUUAAAUAAAAUAAUAAAAUAUAUAAUAUUUUUAUUUUAAUAAUUUGAAAAAAAUAUUACAUUAAAUGAAAUAAGCCUUAAAUCAUUUAUCUUGACUAGAGAAAAAUUCGAGGGUAGAUAGAUUGUUCAGUCUCUUAAAUCAAGACAAUAUGUGUCGUACUUAAUAAUUUAAUUCCAACAAAUGAUCACAGAUAAAACUUAAAUUUAAUAUAUUUUUAUAAAAAAGAACGACCUUAACCGAUUGAAUUAAACCAUUGUUUUUAAACCUUAAAUCAUUUAACGUCACUGAUCAAUCGGAUCCUUCAAAAUUGACACUAACUACGUGGCUUGCGCUAAUUAUAGCCCUCAGGCUGUUGGACAGUUGAACACAUUCUUUUUUACUACCCAAACAAAAACUUUGGUCCAAACCCAAAAGCAAAGGUGAGCCCAUAGCCUACUGGGGUUUGUCCCAGUAGCAUCGGCCUUAUAGUAGUAAGGGGCUUGUGUGGACCUCAAGUGCUGGGUUCAAGCCUCCACCACCUCACGUAAGUAUGCUAAAGAAAGCUAAAGCCCAUCUAGCCCAUGAAACUCGUUAACUUCCCUCAAACAUCAUGGUCUGAAGGCUAAGAUCUAAACUUGUUUGAUCUAAGAGGCUUAUUGUUUUCAUAUGUCCCCUGCUUAUUCCUUUUUUUUUUUUUUUUAUCCAAUUUAGAAUUAUUUUGAGUCUUUACUUGAUAUUGCAAUUUAUUUGGGGACGCACAGACAUGCAUUUAUAUCAUCUUGUUGGAAUAAAAAAUAAAAUAAAAUCAAUUAAAGUGAAGGUAGUAAAAUGAAACCCAACUCCGAAAAUUCACCUCGAAAAAUACAAACUCCAAAAGCCCUAUUUCAUAAAAAUAAAAAUAAAAACAAAACAUAAAUGAAUCCUAAAAUAAAAUUAAAGUACAAAAUAAAGAUAUAAUAAUAAUAUUAUUAUUAUUGAACAAUAAAUGAUUACUAAAUGAAUGAGUUCUAAAUAAUCUUUAAAUAAAUUUUUUUUACGAAUACAAACAAAUUAAAUAAAUUCCUAUUCGUAUUCGGUUUGUUUAAUAAAUAAAUACAAAAAUAUUACUUAAAAUUAUUUAUUAAUUAAAUUUAAUAAAUGAACAAAAAUAAAAUAUAUUUAUAAAUAAUUUGUCAAAAACUCUAUUUUCAUUUACAUCCUCACUAAUGACAGUACAUGAUAAUUAAAAAAAUCAUUCAUUUGAGUUUCAUAUAUGAUUGACGUGAGAUUUAAGUUUAGAGUACUAAUUAAUUUUCUACUAAUGCUUGUUAUGUCAUAAUUCAACUACUCUCAAGAAAUCUUUAGUAUUAGACAUCCUAGAAGUAAGGCAUUAAUUAAAUAUUUACUUUUCGUUAUUUACGUGAAUUAGAUAUGUUUCUUCUGAACUAAUUUUGAAGAAUGUUGAUAAAACUAGUUGUAAUUUUUAAUAUCGAUGACAUCUAGGGGGGGAGGGGGUACUUAAUUGAGUAUGGUUUGCUUCUAAAAUAAAAAUAAAAGUCCUUGUUUCUAUCUUUUGGUUAACUCGAAACAUACCGCGAUAAUCCACAAACAUGUAUCCUUUACGUUGACUUUACAACACGUUAGUUUAUCUCUAUCUCCUUUGUUUGGGAGCCAAUUAAAUGUUGAUAAUGAAUUUGAAAACCACAAGCAAUUGAAUUUGAACCUGUCUAGAUAGAAUAAAGGAGAUUACUAAUGCAAUCCUCUUUGUCAAUAAUAUUUUGUGAUUGGCUUUUACGGAAAGACAGCAAUGUGUUGAAAGAACUUAAACAAACUCCUUAAUUUUUCAACCUAUUCACAUGAGAUAAGCUUUAUAGAAAACGAAAGAAGCCCACGAGGAAAUUGCAAAAUCGGUUCUUGUUGGGUGAAACAUGCGUAACAUGCUUGGCCAAAACCAUAUUCAAAUCCUGAUAUCAUUCAAUCAAGAAGAUUUCAUUGACCAGCAGGUGAAUAUACAACGUUUUCCUGCUACGAGAUAACAAAUUUCGUGACAAUAUCAAAUCUCCUACAUGUUCAUGAUUUAAGCCUCACAAAGAAAAAAAAAUCAACACUCGUACGUUCUAUUUCAUAAAUAGAAUGGUUGAUUAAAACUUAAUCUUUACGACUUCAAAUACUGAAAAAAACAAACAACUGCUUCCUAAAAGGAAAUAAUGAUUUCUUCAAACGAACAGGGGAAAGGCGGUGCACCGAAUUAAAUUGCUGCAGAAAUAGGCUGGAAUUAUCGUUUUUUUUUUUUGAAUCAUUUUCCAGGACAGAAAGGUACCAAAUUUUACUGCCAGAUGUUUCAUAGAGUUGAAAGACUUCUAUUAGACUCACGAAGAGGUGGGAUUCUUCCAUACAUGGCAUCCAGACCCACAAGAAACAUGAAAUUGAUUUUCAAUUGUUAGGAAAAUAGCUAGCAAAACAGACCAUACCUUGAAAAAAAAAAAAGUUGAUUUUGAUAACUAUACGGAAACGAGAGAGGGGAGACAUUUUCUUGCUUCUCUUUCCACACCAAACCCCACACUUUCUUUCCAGCAGAGGACUCCUACUUUUGCAAAAUUCAGUGUCAACUCAAUCCUCGAAUCAUUUCACACUAGCUAGCAAUUGAUCAUACCUUUGCCAUAACCUCUACAAUUUCGAAAUUUAAAACCCUUUAUUUAUUUAUUUUUUGUUGUUGUCAAUUGUCAUUGCAAUUUUAGUACUAUACAAUAAACAUCGAUCAUUAAUUCAGUCGCUAGAACAUCUCUGUCAAACCUUGAAGAAAAUUCAACUGUAUUAAUAAUCAAUCGUCAGGAAGUUUCAUGUCGUUAUUGCUUUUGCCAAGAAAACAAUGCAGUUUCAUCGAUAUUUGGGCAUUAACCAUUUUCAUGAUUCUCAUUAUUCAUUAACCAAAAUGUUGCAUUUUGAAAGAAUGGAAUUACUAUAUAAUUACUUCUCAAUCCUCAUUUUAUUUAUUUAUUUAUUUAUUUUUACAUAAAAGAAGUUCACAAAAUUGAAUUCGAUUUAUAUAAUUAUUUAAAAAUCAACAUUUUAAUAUAUUAACAUUUGAUAUAUUUAGCAUUUAAAAAUUGGAACUACUUCCAAUUUUUUUCCCUUGUUUAGUAUAAUAAAAAAAGUCAUAGAUUGCAACAACAUAACACACUUGCAUUUGUAUAUACAUCGUUGAGUUGACUACGUAAAAAUAAAUAAAUAAAUAUUUGCAUCCAAAUAUCAUUUUUCAUGACUAAAUACAAAAAUAAUUUUAAUUACCCUAAACGGUAAAGCAGACGUAAACUAGGGUUCAUCAUAGACGUCAUGACAAGUGACAGCUCAAAAGGCAAAUAAUGCUUUAUUUUCUGUCGUCUAUCAUGAAAUGAAAUUUUACAGCAUGUCAACGAUGUUGAGAGUUGAAUAUAGCUUUCAUUUUAGAAUGUUAGAUGAAUUUUAUGUUAGGUUUUCUGUUUGAAUUUUUAAUAUAAUUUUUUUUUAAAUUUUGAAUAAAUAUUUUAUAUUUGAUUUAUUGAUUUAAAAUGCCAUCUUAUUGUUAAUAUCGACAGAAAAUUAAAGAGAGACGAUAUUUGAUAUGUUUAAAGUUUAAAUUUUAGUAUUUAUAUAUUUUUUAAUUUUUAAAUUAUGAUUUUUUUAUUAAAACAAUCAAUAAAAAAAGAUGCAUGUUAAUCUUCUAUUAACUUAUAUUAGAUCUUUUUCUUUUUUUUUGUAUUAUUUGAGUAAUUAAUAUAUAUAUAUAUAUAAAUCAACUACUGUAAUAAUCAUAAUUUGAUUUUAUUUUUGAAAAUUUUAAAGUUUACAAAUAAAAUUGAUAAACACACGAUCUAGUAUCAUAAUGAUUUCAAAUUAAAUUUAGUUAAAUCAAGUCCACAUAAAAGUUUUACAAAUGAAUUACUUAAAUAAGAAUAAUAAAAAGAUAAAUAAAUUAUAAAAAAAAUAAAUUAACACAUCAAGUGAACAAUAAAAUAUAAUGUAUAAACUUAUAUUUCAAAUCCUAAAAUAAAAUUCACCUAAUCGAUUCAAACAAAUUAAAUUAACACACACAAAAUAAAUAAAUGUUUUAUUUAUUUAUUUUAAUGAUUUUAUCAAUGAAUUUUUUUCCUUUUUUGAACCAUUUUUUUUAAAAACAAAAGUGUAGAUUUAGUUUACAAUCUAAUCGAUCUAAAAAAACCAAACAUCAUUAUACAAAAGAGAUUUAAUUUCGUCGCCAGAUUCCCUGACUUCAUCAAAUGUCUGGGUUCAUUGUUUAGCAUAAAAUGUCAUCCAAUCGACACAAAUUGACUUUUCAAUGAAUACGAUGUAAAUCUAAUUUUUUUUAAUAAUACAAUUCUUGUAAAUUUGAAUUAAAAUUAAAAUGAAGAUAGAAAGCAGGAGAACCUCUUGAUCGAACCAUCAUUUUCAAUCAAAGCCCACCAACCAGAGCAUACGUGGAUCUGUAUCACAUAUAUAUAAUUAUAUGAUAUGAUUUGUCAAUUUGGCAGAUGGAUACAUAAGCCUAAAUUGCACGUCAAGUAACGUCACCUUUGCAUUGUAAAAGAUCUUUUUUUUUUUUCCUUCUAUUUUCUAACUUUUUUAUAUACGAAAAUGGGAUAAUAAGUUUUGAAAUUAUUUAGUGUUUUAGCUACUUUCAGUUUCAUUAAUUACCAGCAAAUUUACUAGUAUUUUAGUUUUUUUUUUUUAAUUUUGUUUUAAUUUUCAAAGCCGUACCAAGCUGAAUCUACUAAACUAUCUAAAUUAAAUGAAUUUAAUUUAAUAUGAGUAUUAAAGUAGUGAUAGAAUAAAAUUGAAUUUCUAUCUUUCUAGAUAGUUAUUGUUCCAAAAUUAAUUAUCACCUACUUAUCCAAAAAAAUCAAUUACCACCUAAUUGGGAAGAUUUAGAUGAAGUUAAGUAUGUGAAGUUUUCUACUAAAAAUAAUUAAAUAAAAUUUAAAAUUUAAAUAA